Molecule: long non-coding RNA, 55925 nt
Filed under: Phaseolus vulgaris (common bean)
Lineage: Eukaryota; Viridiplantae; Streptophyta; Magnoliopsida; Fabales; Fabaceae
Description: long non-coding RNA (PVUL_LNC004533)
Source: RNAcentral
UCUCUCUCUCUCUCUCUCUCUUACACAGUACGUACUAAUAACACAAACACACACACUCACACACAUUCAUACACACACAUACGUAUACACUGAAAACUGUGGCCCCCAUACUUGAACAGAACCCCCAGCUUGCUUGUCGCACCACCAUCACCUCCAUCCAUUCAUUCACCAACAAUUCACCUUUUUCUUCGCUUUUUCUCUGCCGUUUCUACUGUUUCUUUCUAUGCUUGCAUAUCAAGUGUAAUCACCUUGCAUUUUUUAAUUCCUAAUAUAUAUAAAUGAGUGUUUGAAAGUCAGAUAUGAUUCUUCUUCCAGUGAGCUUGGCUCACUACGCAAACACACAGUCCUGAACACACAUGUUCUUUCCUUUUCCCCUCUGCAUCUUUUUCACGAAUUUGGGUUUUCUAUCCUAUACAUAUGUCCGCAAGCAAACCAGAAAAAACACUCCUCAGAAGUUAAGAAUCAUCAUGCACAUCACUCCCAUCUCAUCUCGUCUCGUCAUUGCACACCCAUCAUUAGGACCACUUCUUUUAUUUUAUGUCUCUAAUUCACAGAAACAAAGACUAAUCUAAUCAUCUUAAUCUUUUGCUUUCACCCACCAUCUACUCUUAAUCUCGCAUCACCUCAGGCUAACAAAAAAUAUACACUUGAUUCUUCCAUUAACUCCAACAAGGCUAAGCAUCGUCAUUCUAUUUUAUAAGGAUUUCAGUUCAGAUUGCCAAUGUAAAGACUUUGUUAAUAGUGAUUUCAAAACCACUUUUAUAUCAAGUAUGUUUUAACCCUAAUUAAUAAACACUAAAACAACAUUGCUUUAUAAUUCUAUCUUUUAACUAAGUAAUCUAUUAUCUAAAUUUCAACAAUGUUAUUUUAAGUAUGGAAAAAAUCCUGAAAAUAUAAUAUAUAAGUUUGUGCACUGAUGGCCCUUAAUUGCAUUAAAAAACUGCAAACAUCAUUAAAUGAACCACUAAAUUCUAAUACUAUCAGGCUAAAUUUUUCUAGUAAAAAGAGUUGGUUCUAUUAACUAUUCUCUCCUAAGUUCAAAUUCUAAUGUAUGCAAUUUAUCAUAAUUUUUAGAAUUUAUUACAUAAAUAUCCCUUCAGAUUUACCUUAAUUACACAUGCAUCCUUUUAUUUUCAGAAACAUACCAAUGACACUCCUCCCCUGACGAAGUUAAUGGUAUAACGAUCUUAAAAUUAAAAUUAAAUAUAUUUUGAGUUCAUUAUUGUGAAAGUCCUAAAUUGUUCUUCAAUUAAGUUAGAUAGAAAGUUGUGGAUCCCUCAUUUUGUAAAGUCUCUAGUUUGGAUUUUGAUUUUUCUCUCUCAACUUCAUUUACCUUUGAAUGUUUCUCAUGGAUUUAAGUCUGCAAUUUUACACAGAUUUGGGUUUGAACACCUAGUGUUCAUUAUAUACAAAAAAAAAUUAAAAUGUUGAUAAAAAGAAAACACCGAUUAAUAAGGGAAUUGAUGUUUGUGUUUUUCGUUUUCUAUUCUUUUGUAUAUAAGAGUUGAAACAUAACUAAAAUGUUUAAUUUAAUUUAAUUUAUUCUUGUUUGAUAAAAAAAAUAACUGAUUUAUUAGUUUAUUUAAGAAUUGAUGUAGUAGGACAAAUUAUAUUGGUUUCUUAGGUGUAGUAUAUGUGUUUUUAGGUUAGUUUACAACUAUAUGUUCUCUUCAGUUUCCUUCUUUGUGUUGUAUUUUUUUGUCAUCCUUUAUAAAUUCUUUUUUUUUUACACUUCAAGUCUUUAUAAAAAAAUGUACAUUAAUAUAUUUAGGUAUUACAUAUGUUUAUAAAACUGUGAUUUUUUAUGUUAGAAAUAUAUAUUACAUAGAAAUGUAUAUAUUGUAAAAUAGACUAUACAAAUAUAUAUUUAUUUGUUGAUACAAACUAUUUGUUUCUGUAUCUAGAUAAUAAUAAAUAUAUUUUUUCAGUUGACUUAGAGAUUUGCUUAUUGUAAUUGAAAGAUACUCUUUUUUUCUGAUUUUUUGGGAUUAUGCAAAAAAAAAUUAUAAUCUGAAUAAAGAUUGUAACUAGUACCUGUGCAACACACAAACUUUUACAAAAGUCUUAAUUUUAAAUUAUAAUAUUAUAAAAAUAUAAUUUUUUGGAUAUUAUAUUAAAUCUGGUAUUACAAAAUACAAAUAUAAGUCCUUCAAUUAUUAAGAAUAUAAGAUAGUUAGAAGAAAUAAAAAUUUUAUGUAAAAAGGAUAAUUGAAAUUAAUAAAUAUGAAAUUGACAAAAUUUUAAAAAAUGAGAUGAGACAUGGUAAAUAUUAAUAUUUUUGGGUUAAUUAUCUUAUUUUUAAUGUCAAUCACGUGAAAAUACGAAGUCAACACAAUCUUAAUAAGACAUCAAGUUACAACAGACAAAAUAUAAACUUAUAUGAGAGAAUGAAAAUGAGAUAACGUAUGUUUGUUUGAGUUAGGAGUGAUAAUACGGGUUAGUCGCAUUGGUCUAUCUCGCAUUUAACCCACAAAAUAUGGAUCGGGUUGAUCCAUUUCACAAAAGUGACACAAACUGAAUUUGUUGGUCUAUACUGUAUAAGAAUUUUAUUUAUUUCAAUUUUUUAUUACAUAGUACAUUAAACAAUUUAAUAUUUAUACUUAUUUAAGAUUUUGAAUAAUUUAGAAAUUUUAUGUAUUUUAACUUUUUAUUGAAAUAGUUCAUUAAAUAAUUUAGAAUUUUUCUUUAGAGUUGAUGGUUGAAGUAUUUUGAAAUGUUUAAUAUUUAUUUAUUAAUUACUAAUAAAAAAAAUAUUUAUUUGUUGCCUUCUUUUAAAGUGGUACAAUAUUAGAAUAAAGUGUUCAUUUUCUUAAAUGGCUUGAUUUUUUAAAGAAAAGUGGACAUACAAGAACAAAUUUCUUAAAGCCUUACUAGAGUAAAUUGCUCUAAGAUUUUCCAAAAGAAACUUAUUUGACAAUACCGUAAUACAAAAAGGAGAGGUAGCAACAAUUAAUGCGCAGAUAACGACCAUAUUCUGCAAGAGAUUUUAAUAAACUAAAGACAAUAAAAAUUAUGAAAUAUGACAAAAUCAGCCUCGUGUCCUUCUUUCAUAAUUCGAUCUACAUGUUUUGUACCAUUCACUAUUAUGGUAGGCAUUAUAGAUAUAAACAUGAGACAUAUGUUGGAAAUCCUAAAUAUACUAUGAAUAAAACCAAGCCAAAUUGUAAUAUAUUUAAAAACAUAUUUAAAAACUACAGGUCUUAAUAUUAAAAAAAAUAAACAAGAGUUUAAUAUAUGAUUAUUCAUUUGUAAUAAAGAUAUAUAUUUUUUUUUUAAGAAGUGAAGUUUAAAUAUAACUCAAUCUUAUAAAAAUUAGUUUGUAAGUUGAAAUUUGUAGUUAUUUAUAUUUUAUAAAUUAAUUUUAUCUUAUCUCUAUUUAAUAUGAGAUUUUCACAUCAUUCUCACAUUGAAACUGUUAACUCAUUCAUGAGACUAGAUAUUUAUGAGUAGUCCAGUAUUUAGUAGUGAAUAAUACCAUAUAUUUAAUAAACUCUCGUUAUAAUAAACUUUAAAUAAAUCUAAUAUAAAUUUAGAAGUGAAUUUUAAACAUAAUUUAACUUAUGUUGAAUUGUGUAAAAUAAAAUUUACACUAAUUUAUAUAGUAUAAAUUGUUCUUAUCUCUCCAACAACUUUAUUUUAUUUCUUUUUCUUUUUUAGAGAUACUUUUAUUAGGUAUUAUUAUUUGAUUCCAUCUCACAUGUCUAUUUUUGUGUGAUAUUAUUGUAAAAAAUGUAUAAAAUUGAUUUCAUGUGUUGUUUUAUUUUGAAGAAAUUGUAAAGAAAAGAAUGGUGCUAUAUUUGGGGUGACAGGGUGAAAUGGUUGCUCCACUUGCAUCCAGCUUGCACCAAAAUGGAAGAUACCCAGUGACUCUUCACCUGUUCUUGCGUGUCCUCACCCAUCCCUCAAUGCAUCAUGACCACCAUGUGUCAAUUUAUGACAAUCGCAUCAUCAUGUCCCUAAAUUCUUAAAUAUAUGCUUAUCUAGAUUCCAUUUCCUUUUAUUUUUUCCCCACAUUUUCUUAUAUUUCUACCAAUAUACCAUGCUGACAUCCUUUUGAUUUUCCAUAAAUAACGAAUUACAAAAAAUAGGAACACUAAAACUAUAAUUAAAUCUUAUAUUUAUGACUCAAUUUUGGUUUAGGUUUUGAAUUAAGUGAAAAAAAAUGUACCAAAUAGAUUAGUUUUUAGACUGUGUUGGCCGAAUUCAAACCCAAUCAACAAACAUUCGGUUGAUUGAAUUUAAUUUAAUUCAUUGAGCUUAAAAACACUAUUGUUUCUGACAUUUUUUUAAUUUCUAUUGGUAUGCUAUUUUUCAUUCUAGUCCUUUUUUCUAUUGGUAUUCCAAUUUAAUUCAAUUUAAUAUUCUUUGUUAAAGUGGAGUAGAAAAGCAAUAAGAAAAAAAAGGUUAAAAGGUCAAAACAAAAAGCAAAUAUCGUGUCCCUUAAGACAUCAGUAUAUAUAUAUAUAUAUAUAUAUAUAUAUAUAUAUAUAUAUAUAUAUAUUAACUCAGUGAGAUUGCAGUCCACUAUUUCACCAUGUUAUUCUUAAUUAAAUCUAUUUACUUAAAUUUUACUCAAUUAUUUUAAUCUUAGUCUUUAGUUCAAAUUUAGGAGAAACUGAAGUUUGUUUAGUAGUAUUAGUAUUUUCUAAACUAGUUAUUACUUUAUGAUUAAAUUACACUUCUAAUCUUGUAAUUUUGGACCACUCUCUUUUUAAUACAAUUUUUAAAACUUAUAACCGGGAAUGGCUUAAAACCUAAAAUUUAAUUUGUUUAAGAUUUGGCCUAUAACAUUUCUAAGGUUCUUUAAGUAAUCAGUUUAUGGUUGGGUAUCUCUCAAAUGCCAUCAGUUUAUGUUUGUAUUUUUUAUUUGUAAACUAAAUCACUAUCUUCACCACCAUUGCAAUAAAAUCAUUACAACAAUUAAUUUAAAAAGAUAAUAAUAAUUAAGUUUAAUACUUUCUAUAAAUUAAAAAAGUUAAUGUUAUUUAAAAUAAUUUUUAUUAUAAAUACAAAUUAAUAAAAUAAUUUAUAAAUUUAUAUAUGAAAUUAUUUAUAAAUAUUUUAAUUAUUAAUUACUUUAGAUUCUAAAUUAGUCUUGUGAUUAAUUUAAAAAUUAAAAUACUUAGUAACUAAAAUCUUGUUAAUUAAUAUUAGAUAACAAUUUAAAAAUUAUUUUAUAAAAUUUUAUUAAUGAUAUAAACUAUUUUAGAUACUAAUAAUUUUUUAAUUUUAAAAAAUAAUAUUUAAUUUAAUAAAUAAUAUUUAAUUAAGAAAUAUUAAUUAUUUUUUGUUUUUAAAAUGUAGUGAAAUUAGAUCUGUGUUUUUUCAUUAGAAGUCUAACUUUUUUAUAUGGUAAAAAACUAAUAAAUUCUAUCAUUAUUAAUGGUGAAAAAUCUAUUUUGUCGGAUAAUAAAAAUGAAGGGAUAUACUUUUUAAUAAAAAAAUAACGGAAACAAAUUAUUUAAAUCAAAACUCUAUUUUAUAUUUAUAAAACUAAUGUGAUCAUUAAAAAUUAAAAUGAAAUAGAAAACAGUUUUUUUAGUUUAACAUAGUAUGUCACAAAUUUAAUUUUAAUUUAAAUAUCAAUGGGAAUUAAUCAAAUUUAAGAUAUAAUAUUUGAAAUGUAUGAAAAAUAUAAUUAAAAAUUAAAUGAAAUACUCUAACUCACUUAAUCUGCCUACUUAAUCCAUUAAUAUUGUCAUACAUGUUCAAAUCAAUUUAUAGUUUUAUAAAUUUAGAAAAGAUAAAUUUAUAUACAUAAUACAAAAAAUAAGUAAUAGAAAAUUAUUAGAUAGAAAUCAAUUUUGGAGACUAAAAAUAAUUAUUUAUUAUAUUGACUAAAUUAUAUACUAUUUUAGAGAAAAAAAAUUAUUUGUUUCUAAAUUACUUUCUAUUAUUGAUAAAUAGUUUCUAAAUCGGUAUCAAAUUAGCUACCAAUAUUUUAACUACCACAAGUUUUAAUUACCAAUUAUUUAAAUUCUAAACUUUGUAGCAAAAAAAUUUGUGACUAAUUAGAUAUCAAUUUAAAAACUAUUUAUUAAUAAUAGAAACUAAUUUAGAAAUUAAUAACUUUUUAGUCUCUAAAAUAAUAUCUAAUUUAGACAAUAUAUCAAUUAAUUAUUUUUUAUCUAUAAAAUUAGUUUUUAUUUAAAAGAUUUACUAGUAGUGAUGGAAAUGAGUUGAAAAUUUUAAUAUGUGUAUAUAUAAUUUUAGGUGAUCUUUAACAAUUUAACUUGUGAAUCCAUUUAAAAAAAAAAAAAAACUUGUGAAUCCAUUUCUAAAAGUGAUGAGUUACAUUUUUCAUCCUAUAUUUACAUGCUGUUAACCUAAUCCUGCUUGACACGAAUUUAGAGCAUGUUAACUCUAAUCGAUUUUCUUUGUAUUUGAUAAUUUAUUUAUAUAUUUGACUAAAAUAUAUUCCAAUCAAAAUUUCGAGAAUGAAUAAAAAAUUAUUCUUUUAAUUAAUUUCUUAAUGUGAUUAUUUUAAAUUGAUUCCUUUAAAAUUUUUGAAAAAAAGCUAACAAUAUUAGGACUUAGUUGAAUGUAUUUUAUUUUUUAGACUAUUUUGUCAAACAAUUUUACACUACAUCUUUGAAAAGAAAAGAAAAAUUGCUUGACUAAAAAUAGACUUUUAUUUUUGUUCAACUAACUCGUACCACUACCCCACUUCAUAAAAUAAUUGCAUAUAAUUAUUUUAAAACCAUGUGAUUAUUUACCCAACUCAUCCCCAGACACGAAGAGAAAUAACCGGGAAAAAGUGUAAAAGGGAUUUAUUUGUGGUAACUGCCACUUUCAAAUGUUAUUAGAUUCUGAAAACGAUUUCAGAAAAUCAAAUAAAAUAAAUAAAUAAAAGCUAACACCACCAAAUGCAAUAAACCAAGAGAUUUUUUUUUUUAAGUAUUAUUAAUAUAGUCCCACAUCAAUUAAGAAUUGAAGUAAAAAACAAUUUAUAUAUACUUUUUACUCAUGUCAAAUACCUUUUAAAAACAUGAACAAAAUUUUCAUAGGUCUUAUUAGAAAAAAAAGAGACACACGUAUAUAUUUUGAAUGGUGUAAUGUUUGAUGUAUUAUAUAGGAAUAUUGAAGUAAUGGGCCCUGAAAUGAUAGCAAGUUUAGACAUAGAAUAGGGAGGCUAAAACUGGAGACAUAUAUAAUAUAAUGGCCUACAAAGUUAAGGUUGAUAGAGCACACCGACAUCACUCACCACGAACUUGUUACAAAUUUCGUAGGGAAGCAAAGUACCGAAUCAUUUGGAGGAAGAAGUUUGAGAAGAAAAGCAAUGAUUUAAUGGAACAGUGGAAUUGCAUACUUUUGGGUAUCACAAUGCCAAAAUAAACUGGUUUAAAUGGUUGUGCCCACUGUUCUGUACGAUAAAACACUAUCACACUGUUCCACUUCAAAUCAGAUACUAUCCCAUACAUGCUACAGAGCUACACUUAUAUUUCCUUCGUUACUUGGGAAUUUAAUUUACAGUCAACGGAGGAUGAUUUUGAGUUGAAGUUAUGAAGAGCAUGCAAAAAGGAAUAGUACUAUUCUGGACAACAAGUAGUAGGGGUGCUAAAAUAAUUUUUACACCAUUAACUUAAACCCAUUCCAAAGCAACGUCAGAGGUAAUGAUUCAUAGACCCAUUUCAUGAAUUGAGUUUGUUUUUAUCCACUAAUAUUGUUGAAUAGUAAGUAGGAGGUGAAGCUAAAUUUUGUUUGAAUUAUGUUUUUGGGCAGUUGAGAAUGAGCUUAAAUGGUUACUUUGCAUGCUUUUCCUAAAAUAAUUGCUUUGCUUUGGUUCCACUUUUUGCUUGCAGCUUUAAUUUCACCUAAAGAUGGAACUGUAAUAAAGCGUAAUCUUACGAAAUGACAUUCCCGCGUGCAAAUCAAAUAUAUAAGUGGGUCAUCUACACUUGCUUUAUGCACAGUUAACUUGAUUCCUAGAUUAAGACAUUCACUGUUUAUACUUAUAUCACAUUUCAUAACUCCCAUUCAAAAAGUAAACAACAUCAUUUACACAGCACUUCAUUCACUUAAACCAUAAAUUCUUUUAAGACAUUACUCACUAUCAACUUUCCUUUCAUGCUUUACAUCUGUUAUAAACUACAUGUUAGAAAUUUCAUGUUUCUCAUCUCUUAAUCUUUUAUAUAGAUUUUAUAGCAUCAUGAGUUCGAUAAUACAUAUAAUUAGGUCAUCUACCUAUAUUCAUAUCAGACAAUAAUGUAUUAGCACAAAUCAAAAGAUCUUGAGUAAAUGGUAAUAUCAAAACCCAAAACAAAAGAAAUAUGAUGAAUGUAUAUAUAUAACAGAGAAUACACUAAAGAAAAAACACAUCACUUACUAAUCGAGAUUGAGAGUCCAUUCACUCUUAACAACACUAAAUAUUUUAGGUUUGAGAUCGCCGAUACUCUUAUCUGAAACAGUUUUAUUUAUAAUUUUUAAAUAGCCUUCGAGAAGUAUGAUUUAACUUAAUUAUUGACUUUAACGAAGGUGUCUCCAUUGUGGUGAAUCCUAUACACUUUUCUUCUUUCAUUUCUGCCUUUAGUAUGAUAAGAAAAUGAGUUUGGGGUUGAAUUAAAAAUGGAAGAAAGCAUGGAUUACGGGCCUGUGAAUUAAUCUAAGGCCAUAGUAGAUUGUGGUCCACCUGAGGUAUAGGCCAGGACCCAAUUUCUUGAGAUAAUAAAUUUGUAUUAAGCUUGAAAGACACAUCACCACCAAGCCCUAAACACCGGCCUAUAGAUACAUGUGUUUUUUCCACUGAGAGAGAGAAGCACUUCAAUUUUCAAACACCACCAACAUUUAUUUAGGUAAGAAAAUUGAUUAGAGGAUUAAACCGGGCGUGUAGGAGGGGAAACAAAGGAAAAAGAAACAAGUAAUGAUUAGUGAGUGCCCCACUAGGGAAAUUUUGAAGGAUUCACUCUUAAUUAAACGUCUUUUUCACAUUGAGAACUAAUUAUAUUUAUACAUAGUUGUAGAAAAUUAAGAAAAAUAUUGUUUUACUUUCAACUUUGCCUCUCUGUUCUCCAUUAUUUACAUGUGAGAAGAAGAUAGCUGUAUACCAUUGGAAUUUGGACGAGGAAAGACUUGAAUGAAUGUAUAAAUUCUUGUACUAAUUGGAAUCGAACAAAUUAUGGUUAGUAUUUGAUGAGUCAUGUUAAUUGAUUUUAGUAAUCGAUCGACUGAAUGAAUCUUCAUUCAAAGUAGUUACGAUAAACAGUUUAAGACAGUUGUAAGAAUUUUUUAAGAAUUUAGAAUACAUUCUACCAAAUUCAGAUAACACUCCUGUAAAUCAAGAACUUUUCUAAAAAAUGAGCUAAUGCUAAAAUAUGAUAAAUUUGACUCAUUACAACAAACUACAAAUGUGUAAGGUACGAUUUUAAUACCUUCUUAAUUUAUAUUUCGUAUACUAAGUACUUACUUGAUUGUUUGAAUAUUUUUUUCAGAUCAAUAUACAAGACUUAGAAUAAAAAAUAAGAAAACAACCUAACAACCAACUCGUUAACAAUUCAACAACCAAUUUCAGAUAUUAUUUAAAUUUAUUUUAUCUAUACAAUUCUUAAUAGCUAUAUCUAACUUUUUUUUUUUUUUGGAUCUCUUGACCUUGAUCAACAAGUUUUACAACCUUUGGAAUCAUCGAGACCUAGAUUGAAAACAAAAACAAUGAAUAGGACGAUGAAGAUUAUGUCAUCUCCUUCGAAAUACCAAAAACAUUUUCUGAGACUAUAGCGUUCGAGUGAGUGUAGUUUAUUUGGAAUAAUUUUUCUUAAAAUUGGGUUAGACAAGUCAAUUUGAAAUUGAACUAUAACUUUUCUAGCUCAAUUUAUCCCUUACCAGAUUAAGGGUCAAAAAAACCCUGCAUAUGGAUCAAUAAUAUUUUUACAGCCUACACAGAAUGGAUCCAUCAUUUCUUACACUAUAAAAAAUAAAUAUUAUUAAUAUAAAUUACCUUUUAUAUGAUAAGAUAAUAAAAUAAUUUCACUUAAUUAAGUUUUAAGUUAUUAUAAAUUUAGACAUCUUUAAUUAAUUUUUAAUUACAAAUUUUCGUUCUAUUGAAUAUUAAAAGUAUUUUUUUGUUUUUAUUUAAAUAUUUUUUCAUUUAAUUAUGUUGCCAACUAGAUAAUAUAACGGUUACUUCCGUCUUCUCGUUUCUAAAAAUAAAUAAGUGAUUGCGUGACGACAAAAAUUAAGAAAUAAGAUACUUAGACAAAAAAUGAAAAAAAUAUUUUAAACACUUAAUUAAUAUAUAUAUAUAUAUAUUAAAUUAAAAUACUUAAAUUUAUAAGAUACUGAAAAUUUAAUUAAAUAUAUAUUUUUAAUGUUGUGCAGAGGUGUCUAUUCUUUUAUUUUUUUUUCAAUAAUAAUAUAAAUAAUCGCCAAAAUAUUUAUCAGACAUUAAAUAAUGAUUAAUGUAUUAAUGGUGGUACUUGUAUAUAGUAAAAGAUCUAUUUUAUUAGUGAGAACUUAAAUCAUCUUUAAAAUUAUUUUUUCAAUUCUGCUUUAAUCUUUCAAUAACUUUUACCUAUUAUCGCUAAAAAAAUUUAAAAAAUGAAAAGAUUUAACAAAAGAUUAAAUAUUAUCUUAUGAAAUAAAUUUUAUAAAAUUUAGUUAAAUUUAAUUUUUUUAAUAUGAUAUAAAGUUAUUAUAUAGUAGUGUUUGCUGGAAGUUGAAACUUGUGUCAUCCAUUACUAAAUUCUCCUAAUUUAAUGUGAGAUGUCCAAUACUAAAUGUAAAAGUGUAUUGAUCUAUUAUAUUUAUUUUAUAGAAUAACUCCAAUAAAUUGAUUGAACCUCAAAAUAUUAUGUACAACUAUUUAUUUAUUUCUCAUAAUAUUUAAUAUUAAUGAAUAACUCAAUACCCAUUGUGACACCAUCCUAUGAAUCGUGUGAAUGAAACCCAGCAGAGUUUCAAGAUUAUUGCCAUCUGCAACAAAGAAGAAACAAAUCAAAUCUCAAAAUUCAAUGAAAUUGUACGCUUAACCAAUACUAAUUAAAUGGUAACAAUGAACAAAAUUACUAAUUAAAGUAUGAGAUACCACUAAUCAAGUUUUGAAUUCGUAUGAACUUCACGGUGGUAAAUCACUACAUGAUCCUGAAAUGCUUCCAACAAUGAAACUUUGAUGAAGAUCGAGUGAUGAUUUAUUUAUAUGAGAUUUUCUAAAUCUCAAAUAAGAGUUUAAAGAGAUAUGAGAGGGAUUAAAUGAGUACAAAUGUAUUGAGUUGAAUUGAGUAAUUUCUGAAAUUAUAUUUAUAAGUUUUUGGUGUUGUUAAAAUAUAAAAUAUUUAAUUAAUUUAUAUAUGUUGUCGAAUAUCAAGUCAAUUUCAACAUAGAAGUUAGUUUUUAAAGGUGUCCUAUUUAUUCAGACAUGGAGGUACUUAAUGUCUAUUAUUGCAAGUGAAUAUUAUAUUCUUAGUAUUUUUUUAUACUGGAUAUCUCUAAUAUGGAUAUUAUAUUCUUAUUAUUUUUUAAUUUUGGAUAGUACACAUAUUUUACUUUAAUAAAAAAUAUCAUAACAUCUAAGUUAAAAUAACUCCACAAAAUUUAACAAAAUCAUAUAUCGAUAAAUGAAAAAAUGUAUAAAAAAAAUAAAAAAAUAUGAGAGAAACCAAACUCAUAUAAAAGAAACAAACAAUAAUCCAAAAUAAAAGACUAUACAAAUUUAAAGUCUAAGCUCGUGUUUGGAUUGGGGGGUGGCACUGUAGUCACAGACGAAAGUGGGGUGUCACCCCGUUUGGAUCUGUUGAUGGUGGAGGGUGUGGGUGAGGGUGAGGGGAAAGUUGGGCCGAAUGAGAGAGCAUUCAGAAGUGAAGAGAAAGGAGAGGGAGAGGGAGUGAGUGUCAAGUAGGAUGAGUGCAAUGUCAUUUGUGCCUUCACUAGAUUUUUUGACGUAUUUGGACAUUGGACAUGAAGCAUGCAUGCGCAUAACACUGUGAAGAGAAGCUUUUCAGCAAGCACAGGAGAUUCCUGACCAUUGUUCAGGAUUCUCUUUGACCAACUUCAAAGCUCAAUGAAUGCAUAGCCAAGUUGGUGAGAGAGUGGAUGAGCGUAAUAAAGAGGUGCAGCAGUAUAUAUGUGGUUCCCAACCUCACAAACCUCACACAGUUGAGGCAAUUCAGUUCUUCACAAAGCACAUACCUAGAGAGCUUGGAGAUGGUCAUGAGUAAGCAUAGUGAUAGGAGAUUGCACUUGGUUCUUUGUUUGUGACCUCAGGUGAGCUGUGUGUGAGUUUAUUUUCAUUAUUAACUGAUUAUCACUGAAAAUGAACGUAUGCCAUAAUCGAUUAUGUGAAAAAAAAAGAGUUGAUAAUUGAUGAAUAUAUAUUUAUUCACACACAAUAGCCUUAAUCAUAGAUUAUUGGACUAUAAUAAUAAAUAAAUUCAUUGUUUUAAUUAAUAUUCAUAUAAUUGGUAAUUAAUAUUAUCUUUGGUAAUUUUGUGUUUUUAGGGUAAAUUAUCUGAAGCAUCUACCUUUGUGAAUGAGCCAAACAUGCAAAAGUCCAAGUUGCUUAUUUGAAUAAAAACAAAAAAACAAAUUCUGAGGAGAAGAAAGAGAAAAUAAAAGCUACAAGAUUCCAGAAACAGAAUUGGAAGCAAAUCUUCUGUAAAAUAAAAAGAAUUAUGGAAAGUGGAAACUGUUUAGAAAAUCUUAAGUGCAAUAUUUUCCCAAGAUCCUUGGAGCAGAAAAGUCUAUAAAAGGACACAAGCAUGAAGGAGAAAGGGAGAGAGCUUCAUAGGGUUUUCUUAGUUUCUUUUCUUCUUUGUAAUUCUUUUGUUUUGCCUCCGCAUGGAAGGUUAAACCUUUUUGGUUGAUUCUUUUGUAAUUCCCCAUUAAGUUCUGAGGUUUUUAUUCAAUAAAAGUUUCAUUUUUCAAUUUUUUAUAACAAUUGUUUUUAUUGUCUAAUCUUCUGGAAAACUAGUUUUUGUGAGAGGUUGUACUUGAACGCAUGAUUGAGAGUCUUCCUUAUCUUAAACUUUGGUUUCUUAGUUAGUUCUCAUUGUUCUAAUUAAUUUCUUGGCGCAUGAUUCAAGAGAGAGGAUAUAAGCAUUCCUAUGGAGUAUACGCAUGGAACAAAAUGUCUAUUGAUUAAACCAGUAGACGCAUGCUUUACUGGUGAGUUUCAGUUGAAUCAGAUCGGCGCAUGUUCAAUCUGGUUUAGCUCUGUUGGAGGAUUGAAAAAAUAUUAAUCUUUAGAGAACCUGUGAAGAAUUCAAUGGUGGAAGAACUUGGGAUCAACCACUUUUUUAUUUUCUAUUUCAAUCUUUUUUAUAUUUUUCUUGUAGAUAGAUUUUGAAUUCGGUUAACUGAAUCACUAUUGGAUUCGUUGGGAGACAACUUAGGGUCAUCUCUCUGGUGUUAGACAACUCUACGCUAGAUUCAUAUUAAUUUGACAGCAAAACGACAACUAUAAAUAAUCGAGCAUAAACAUUUGGAUAAUCGAUUAUGAUUUUAAUUUCCCAGAUUUUUUAUUUUCUGUUUUUUGAAGUAAUUUUUGCAUGAUUUUUUUGGAUUGUGUUUUUUUUUUAAAUUGUGUUUGGAUGUUUAGUUUUAUUUUGAAUUUAAUUUGUUUAAAUUAUUUUAAAGUACUUGUUAAUUAGUUUUUGUUAAUUAGUUUUUAAUUUUAGAUGUGAAUGUUUAGGAAAAUUGAUUAUCUAAGAUUUAUAUUGUUAAUGUAAAAAUUUCAUGAAAUUUAAAUAUAGAAUUUUUGUAACAUGAAUUGAAUUGAAUUUAUAGAUUGAAAUUAGAGAUCUAAAUCUGUUAUUUUAAAAUAUUGUUAUUAAAAAAAUUAUAAAAAUUGUUACAGUAAUUUAAAACAGAAAAAUCAAAUAUACAGAAGAUUUUUUUAACAUUGUUAAAUAAAUUUAUGAAUGUAUACAUAGUAAUUUUUUUUUUAACUUUGAAGCUGUUAAUAAAAUAAUUUUUUUGAUUUAAACUUACAGAAUAGACUAUUUUUUAGAAAUUAUUAUUUUUACAGAAUGUAAAUAUAAUUUUUAAAACAAAUAUUGUAUUAAUUAAAAAAACAGAAAAAGAUUACAUAAUAAAUUAGAAUUUUUAAUAAUAUGUGUACAUAGUUACUAUUUUUUGAACAUUUAAUUCUUUAUAAAAAAAUAUAUUUAUUUAUUUGAAAUGAUUAUUUUUACUUAAUGGAAAUAAAAAUUUUGAAUGCUAUAUUUUAUAAUUUUGGACAUUUUACAUACACAUAUCAUAAAAUACAUAUAAUUUAUUUGUCAUAGUUUACAUAAAUUGUUAAUGUUAUUAUAAAAAAAUUAAAAUAAAUAUUGUAGUAAUUAAAAAGAACAGAAAAAGAUUACAUAAUAAAUUCAAUUUUUUAAUAAUAUAUGCAGAUAUUUAAUAUUUUUUAACAUUUAAUACUUUAUAAAAAAACAUUUAUUUAUUUGAAAUUAUUAUUUUUACAGAAUGUAAAUAUAAAUUUUUAAUGUUAUUUUUUAAAACAAAUAUUGUAUUAAUUAAAAAACAGAAAAAGAUUACAUAAUAAAUUAGAAUUUUUAAUAAUAUGUGUACAUAGUUAUUAUUUUUUGAACAUUUAAUUCUUUAUAAAGAAAUAUAUUUAUUUAUUUGAAAUGAUUAUUUUUACAUAAUGUAAAUAGAAAUUUUGAAUGCUAUAUUUUAUAUUUUUUUUGAUAUUUUACAUACAUUGUCAUAGUUUACAUAAAUGGUUAAUGUUAUUAUGAAAAAAUUAAAACAAAUAUUGUAGUAAUUAAAAAGAACAGAAAAAGAUUACAGAUUUUUUAAUAAAUUCGAUUUUUUAAUAAUAUGCGUAGAUAGUUAAUAUUUUUUUAACAUUUAAUGCUUCAUAAAAAAACAUUUAUUUUAUAAUUCAUUUUAAUUUUAUAUUAAUUUUUAAGUUAUAAUUGAAACUUACAAUUAUUUUAAUUAUCAAAAUUAUGUACAAAAUUAAUAAUUUUUUUUAUACAUAUGGAUAAAAGUAUACUUUAUUAUAUAUAACAUAAAGUAAUUGAAAUUAAAUAAUAUAAUAUUAAUUAUUUUAAUUAAUUUAAAUAUUCUUUAAACUAAUUAAUAUUUCAUUUUUCCCAUUUAUAUAUAUAGAAGAAUAAAUUUAUAAUCUUACCAUUUACACUAUUCAAAAUAUAUUAAAAUACUUUCACAACUAUCACAUCAUUCACACUUUUCAAUAAACUUUCUUUACACAUCCACUCUAACAUCCCUCAAUCCAAACAUCCUCAACUUUCAACUUUCUCCACACUUUUUUCAUAUUUUCACUCCCACACCCUCAACUUUCCACUCACGAGUUGAUAAGUGUUACAACAAAAUAUAAACUAAUGUAAAACACUAAACCAAAUAAAUAUAUUUUCAAUCCUAAUAUUCACAAUGUUAUGACCUUCACUUUUAUAUAUAUAUAUACUACAAGAAAAUCAUCAAAUAGAAACUAAUUUUUAGAGAUCAAAAUAAUUAGUUGAAAUAGUAACUAAAUUGGAGACCAUUUUAAAAACUAAAAAAAAUUGAUUUCUAAAUUAGUAACUAAUUAUUUUUUGUCUCUAAAAUUGGUUUUUAUUUCAUAAUUUUUUUAUAGUAAUAUAUAUAUAUAUAUAUAUAUAUAUAUAUAUAAUCACAAAUUUAUUUGAGUCAUCUAUCUUAAAGAACUUAAUAAAAAGUUUGAGGACUCAAAAAAUUUAACAAAUAAAAAGUAGAAUCACACUUCUACCCAAUACAAGAAAAUUAUUAAUUAAAAACUAGUUUAAGAUAAAAAAAUAAUUAGUGAUUAUAUUACUAAAAUAAAUAUUAUUUUAUAGACUAAAAAAUUAUUGAUAUCUAAAGUAGUUUUUAUUAUUAUAAAAAAUUAUAAAUUAAUUUUUAAAUUGGUAUCUAAUUAUUUAAUUAAUUUAAUUAGCUAACAUUUUUAGAACCUAAAAUAGUUGAUAACUAAUUAGAUACCAAUUUUAGAAUUUAAAGUAAUUGAUAGCUAAUUAGAUACUAAUUUAAAAUCUAGUUUAUAAAUUUUUAUUAAUAAUAAAAACUACUUUAAAUAUUAAUAAUAUUUUAAUCUAUAAAAUAAUAUUUAAUUUAAUCAAUAUAUAAUUAAUUAUUUUUAAUUAUAAAAUUAUUUUAUUUAAUAAUUAUACUGUAUUGACCAUAUACAUGUAAAUCUAAAGUGAAUAAAUAGAAUAGUAACUACAAACUCUGCAUAUGAAGAUUUAUUAAUAUUAAAAUAAAAAGUGGAACUUUUAAUAUAUUCUUCAUUGUUUCCUCUAAAAGUCACUAUAAUAUAAUCAAGACAAUCUCUAACAUUACCAUCACUAUUGACAAAUAAAUUAACUUAUUAGUAAUUAGUUCGUCAAUUUAAUAACUAUAUAUAGAAGAGAGAAAAGUAAAAUUUCAUUUAAGAGUGGAGUUGAUUGUAGAAAUUAAAUUACGUAUAAAGUUAAGGGAGGGAUAUCUAUUAUUUUUUAAUAUGAAUUGUAAUUUUAACUUGAGAUCUUCCUGUCUAGUUAAGUAAUUAAUAAGUAGAAAGCUUUAUUAAAAAAUAUAUUGAAGUUGUAUUAGAAAUUUUAGAAAAGUGGAUCCAAGUAAAUAACUUUCACUUUUAAAUUUUUUUACUAGGUAUUUUUCUGUAAUUUAUAUAUUUAAUCUCUUGCAAACGUAACAACUAUGAUUGAAUUGAAGUUUGAAAAACAUUUUUCUGAAUUUUAUGAUUAUAUGGUAAUGUCACAUUCGAGGAUUACAUAAAAUAACGUAACGUGCAACAUGAAACACGAUUGUUCUAACACAACUUUCAUCCAUUCAAUUUAUUUCUUAUAUAAAUAAUUUUAAAAUUAAAAUUAAUAAAAUUUCAUGGUUACCUAACAUUUGUCUAGUUUGUCUGAAAAAAAAUGUCCAACAAUAAAUUAAACUGGGCAAAAUAUAAUCUGUCCAUUGAAAUUCUUAAAAUAUUAAAUACAGAUUUUUGUAUUAUUUUGUCACUCUAAACUUUUGAACUUUAAAGAUAUAUAUUUUAGGUGUUUCAAAAAUUUAUACAUAUUGAUCUUUAAUGGUAAUAACACUAGAUGGAAAAAAAUUGUACAGAUGAUGGUCUUAAUAGUGUUGAUUAUUAUAUUUAAUAAAAAAAGUGUGAUAAAGUUGUCAUGUAUAUAAGUUUAUUUUUGUCGUUAGUACUAAUGAAAUCUAAAAGGUAUGUUUAAAUUUCAAAGGAAUCAAAAUAAUAUAAUUUUUUAUAAAAGUAUUUAGUGUAAUUAAAUUUUAAUAUCUCGAUUAGAGAUUAAGAUAUUUCAUUUUAUAGUAUAUAAGCGGGUGUAACUUCAUAAGCUGAUUUGGUUUAAACUUAAAGUUCACUUUUUAAUAUGAUAUAAGAUCCAUUUAAAGUCGAACUUAACUAGAGAUUUUGUUAGUCUUACCAAACCAUCUACUAUCGGAUCGUUAUUGGAUCAUAUAUAAAUAUAUAGUCUCAUACACAAACAGUCACUCUCCGCGUGAGAAAAUGUGUUAGAAAAUUCACAUAGAUUAAGUGCAAACAUUACCUUAUAAGUCGAUUUAAGUGCAAAAAUUACCUUGUAAGUCGAUUUUAUGAGUUAGAUUUGAAAUUAUUUUUCAAUAUUCAUAUAAAUUAUUUUUUUAAGAAUUAAUAUUAAACAAGCAGUAAAAAAAUAAUUAUUAUAAAAAUAUUAAAAAUAACCAUUUAUCUAAAAAUAUAUAAACUAAAAACACUCUUUUCGCAAGAAUAAAUAUGACAGACAAUGCCAUUAUUAGAAUUUAGAACACACAUGAAGGGGUUGGAGAAUAAUUUAUUAACGUCUGGAGCAGCAGCACCUAGAAGCAUUAAAUAUUCAUAAUUAUUUGUAGUAACAACUAUUUUUAAUUUUAUUGUUCUUUGAUUAUUAUUCCACUACAACAGAAUUGAUAACCGAUAACAGUUUUAAAACUUACUUAGCAACUGUUAAAACUAUGGUCAUAAAACUACAUAGUGAAUUUGUAGGCUAUGAUGAGUUUAUAUGUCUAUUUGUUGGUUGCGGCUCAACCCAACAUGUAAAUUCGUUUUUGAGCUAAACUCGAUUUGGUGAACUUGAUAUUAAGCACGUAAAAUAAAAUAAAAUAAAAAGCACCAUACUAUUAAAAUCACAAAUGAUAAUAGAAUGUUAAAAAAAAAUGUUAACUCUUAGUAAUUAACAAAUAGGUUGAGAAUCAUGUUGCCCCAACAGGAAGAAAAUGUUCUGUAGGAAGUGUAAGAGAAAAAAAAAAAUAAUGUAACAUGAAUACUUUUUUUGUGUUGUUAAAUUUAAAUGAAAAUCACAGGAACUUAUAUGUAAUCGAGAACUAUGUUUAAUCAAUUAUCUUUUUUAAACCUAUUAUUUGAUUACUUAUUUUUAAAAUUUAUCUCAAUUUAUUACAAGAAAAAUAUUAUAAUAAGUUAUUUAUAAAUAUUUUCAUCCAUAUAAUUUUGCACUUUAUAUGCAUAUAAAUGAUUUCAAGUUAACUAUUAAUAAUAAAUUAGUUGUAUUAUAAAUAAAAAACAUUAUAGUAUAUUUAUUUUCAAUUUAAUUUUUAUAAAUAAUUUAAUUCUUAUGUUUUUAAAAUAAAAUAGCUUUUUUUUUCAAAAAAAAAGGUUCUUAUACUGAUAAUCAUUUAAAUUAAAAUCUGUUUCUUGUUUGAUUCUUUUGAAAAUAUCAGUCAUGCCAAUGUGAUAAUAUCCAAAUUUUAUAUAAUUUUUCAGUUAUAUGUUUUUUUCUAGUUAUAAUUGUUUUGUAAGUUUUUUUUAUUUAUUUCAGAAACUAAUAAAAUUUAUUUUAAAUAAUAAAGAUUCUCACAUGAUAAAUAAAAACUUCAAAUAAAAUCUAAGGUCAUUGUUUAACAAAAUUUACAACCAGAGCAAAUCACAUUUCUUAUAUAAGGAAUGAAGUUAGUGUAAACAUUUCCAAAAAUGCUUAUGACCAGUUAAACAAAUUUUAAUUAUUUUUAAGAAAAUGAUUCCGAUAUUCAUGUUUUCCAAGAGUCUACAUAUGAGGUAGUGACAGAAUUGUCAUUCUACUACAUAUAAGCUCAUAAUGGACCUACUCUUUACAAAGCAGAAUUGAACAACUGCACAACAAAAAUAAAUCUUUUCCACUGCAUAGCAACUGCAAAACAUAUCAAUUGCAGAAUAAAUCAUAAUCAACUGCAUAACAAAAUAAAUCUUUCCAUAAUAUUGAAAUUUACUGUAUUUUUCACCUACUACUUCAAAUCUAAAAUCAUCAUCUACUGAAAUAUUUCAAAACAAGCUCCUGGAUUGUAAAACAACACCCACUAGUAAUCCACUGCCAAGAGUAGAGCUUAAAAUAUUUCAACCAUUUUCCACUUCCCUCCGAAUGUUGAAAACAUUUGAGAAUUUUGGGCCAACCCUAUUGACCACCAAACAAUAGAAAACUAUAUAACAUGCCACCUGAUUCUAUUAUCUGAAUCACAAUUAAGAAAUCCCAAACUUCUAUUGCUCCAUCAACUCAAGCACUAAACUCACCUGGAGAAGAAUUCACAUUCAAAAUACAAGUGAACUAGAGUUUUGACUUCCUUAUAAGGUACCUCUAGACAUGACUUCAAUGGUUGGAGUAAUACCUCUAUAUGCUUGUUCUUAAGGGAGAAAUCAAUCUUGAGCUAGCUUCCAAAUACAAGAUUGAACCUUGAGUAAGUGUCAUAGAACCUUAUCCAGCCUAAAUUUCGAUAAUAGAACCUUAUAUGCGAUUUAACCAAGUAAGUGUGUCUAUGUAAUAAAUAAAUCAUUUUCAUGAAAGUUGAAACUUUAUAAAAUGAACUCAAAUUUAAACCAUUCAUUGACGCUGGCUUCAUAUAUUGGAGCUUAUUGCGGAAAAUCCUUAUUACUAUAUGACUUUAGAGGAGUUUUACAGUGUAAUUACAAGAUAGAAUACUGACAUAAAGUCUCCAUAAGAUUCAAGUUUUGAUAUGACCAUCCUAAAUCAUCCUCUGAAUGUUGUCAGUAAAAUUAACCAUAGUUUCAAGACUGUUAUCAUCUGCAACAAUGAAGCACCAAAUUAAAAUCACAGAUUUUCAGAGUUGAGACACAUUAUAUGCACAAAACUAAUAUUCAAAUGCGUCCUGGCACCAGUCAUAGUUAGUUACAAUGAAAGAUCUACAAUUUAAAGUAGGAGACACCACUAACCAAGUUUGGGGACUGUAUGCCCUCUGGGGUGAUGAAUCACAACAGGAUUCUGGAAUGCUCCCAACAAAGCAACGCUCUCUUCCUUCAUGAAAUCUUUCUCCCCUUCACCACAUAAUAAGAAUAGAAGAUACAAUACAACUUUCAAAGUUAAAUGUAAAGGAAAAUUUGCUUAAGCAGAAUCACAUAUGAGGGACUUGAAAUUACCAAUAAUGUGAAGAGAUAAGCAAUCAAUUGGUUUUGAAAAUGCAUUAGAAGCCAAUUUAGGCAUUCCAAACUUGUUUCCACCAAACUUGGCACCAGAUAUCACAAUCAAAAACUUGAUCUUGUCUACCUUCCCAAGUGCUACACCCUAUAAAAGUCAUCAUUCCCUUUAGUGAAAUCAAAUGCAGUUUUAACUAAUUUAGCCUACUUAGAGCAUCUCUAAUGCCGCUGUUUACAAAAGUUGCUUAAAAUGAAUAGCAUUGCUCAACAAAAAUUGACAUAUAAGAAACAUAAACUAUUUUUAUUUUAAAAAAAUGUACAUUUUCAAGUUAACAAUCAUCGUCAAGACAAAGAAACAAAGCUAUACACCCAUUUAAAAACUUUAGCAUUAGAGUUAAAACUCAAGUAUUCAUUCUUUGACAAUUUAAGAAAUAAAACCGUAUAAGCAAACCAUGCUUCAUGCUUCGUAGAUACUCAUUGAAAACUCAAAUAUUCAUUCAUUCUUUCACCAAAAGGGCAUCAUCAAGGAAGGAAAGAUGAACUUAAUAUAUAAAAGAGAAAGUGUAAACAGUAAUAAGAUGAGUUUCUUGUUCAGUACCUGCGCUUGCAUUCCUGGCAAUGCAGCCGCUAAAAUUGCUCCCUGAGAGACAACAUUCCUUAUGUGUCAAAAUUGUAUAAACAAAAGAUUACAAAAAGUUCACAAAUAACAUUGUAGCAGCAAAGUCCGCACCUGAGAGAAACCCAAUACACCAUCGAAAGGACCAUUUUUGAGCAUGUAAUCUUCUAUGUAUGCUAAACAGGCUUCGAAGUUUCUAUACUCAGAGAAGUCCUGUACAUGAAAAGAUAAACGUUAGCAGCAUACUAGGAUAAUGUCGGUGGUGGGGAUUACUAAGAUGGACAGUCUUGUCUCUACAACAACCUCAUUGGCUUGGAACCAUUCAUAGUAAGGAGGAUCGAAAAUGCCUUCAACGUCAGAUCUUCCCUGCGCGGGAAAUUGGCCAUCGAGGAACACGAGGUCCAAUUUUUGUAUCACUGGUUCUGGCCAUCUUAAGACUAGCUGCUUGAGGAUUUCGCCACUGGUUCUGAAUCCGUGGAGACACAGGAUUCUGGGUUUUCUCUGGGUUUGGUCUUCUUCCAUAAUGCUCAAACUUUGACAGCAGAUUAUUGCUCAGGGUGCUUUCAUGAAAUCAAAAUGAAAAUUAGUACCAAUUUCUUUAGAUUUGGGCAAAAUGUAAGGGCCGGCGCCGCCGAACCCAUCAUUUAAUAAAAUUGUAAAACAUUGUAAUUUUUAGAUUUCAUCUUAUAAAAUCAACUCAAUCUAAAUAAAUAAAUAUAUUUCAAAUUUAAAUUAUAUUAUUAUAAUUAAUUUUAAUUUGAAAUAUAAUAAUUUAAUAUAGAAAUUAUAAUGCAUAUAUAUGUUUAAAUAAAAUAACAUUAUUUUUAUAUUUUAAAUAAUUAUUAUUAUUUUAUAAAAAGAUUAUGUAUAAGGCUAUUUAUAGGCCGAACCUGUUUAAAUAUAUUACAAAAAUAAUUCAGUUUAAUUUAUAUUAUAAUUUUUUGUAAUUGAACCGUUUGAUUAUGUAGUUUUUUCAUGUGUUAGCUACAAGACACUAGUCUAUUUCAGCACAAAUAAAAAUAAUUUAUAUAUCACUCAAAGGAUAGUUCUCGUAAUUUAUUCUCAUGAAAGGUGUUUCCGUCUGUUGACUCGAACAAUAGUCUUUGUCCCUCCUAACUCCGUCUGAGAAUUGAACUUUCUUGAUCGAAGAAUCUCUCACCUGCAAAGACAAAGGGCGUCUUGACGGUCGUUUGCACUCCAACGCUCAAGUCAGUAUAAGGGCAAAGAAAGACCAAGUGUAUAAAGUAGUUUCAGUCUUAGAAAUUGUGUACCUUGCUAGGAUUCUUAGCACCCUUUAUAUAGGUUGAAACUAGGGUUUACCUUCGCUCAUUUACCCAUAUCUAGGGUUCCUUCGAGAAUGUCCCUACGCCGCUAUUACAUAAUCUUAGCGUAAUCUGAUACAUUGAACUUCCCUUAACUGGAGUGCAACGACUAACAGAAUGGUCAUCUGGGUACCAACUUGUGCACCUAAUCUCUGGGGCCAUCUAUUACGCGGGUGUCUUAAGUAUUCACGUGUCAUGCAUGCAGCUCCCUUCGGAAACCCUAACCCUAAUGGGCCUUAGCGCCUCCAAGGACUGUUUACUCGUGUCGCGCCUGAAUGCACUAUACACACCACCUGCAUGGAUCCCUCGUGACUUAGGUUUUCCUUAUAUCUGUCGUUUUAACUGAUAACUUAGUAUAAUUCUAGGGUCCACCUUACGUGGUCAUAUAUAACUGUUCUGACCGUCAACAUCCGAUCUCUUCCUAUUCUGGCAAGGUCUGAUAUCGAUCUCCAACUUCGAGGUCUAUGGUACUAGUGUCCGAACGCUGACCCACACCCUGAUAUGCGUAUCUGGGACCCACCUUGUGUGGCCCAUCUUUGCUAUCAGGCACCGAUGCGCGACGUCUGAGAUCAGUCUCUGAAGUCGAUGACCGAUGACUGGUCGAUACAAAAAGAAAAAUAAAUUAUUAACAUGUAGCAUGAUUAAUCCGGUUAUAAAAAAAAAUCCCAUAAAUUGUUACAUGCUAAUAUUUUUUUUAAAAAUUAUGAAAUUGUCAUGAAUGUUAUAUCCUCAUUUAUUUUUUAAAAAAAAUUCCUUACAUAGAAGUAGGCCAUUCAAUUCUAUAUAUAUAUUUGAAAUUUGUAGUAUAUGUUGGUUAUUAAUUCAGAUUUUAUUAUUAUUAAUUCUGAUUUUAUUACCCUUAAACUAUUUUACCGUUAUAUUGCAUUAAUGGUCAGUUUACAGGCCUGUUAGUAUUCUUAUUUUAUAGCUUCCAGUAAUUGUAAUUUUAUUAUAUAUAUAUAUAUAUAUAUAUAUAUAUUAUAUAUAGUNNNNNNNNNNNNNNNNNNNNNNNNNNNNNNNNNNNNNNNNNNNNNNNNNNNNNNNNNNNNNNNNNNNNNNNNNNNNNNNNNNNNNNNNNNNNNNNNNNNNUUACGUUCAAUAGUUGCUACAACCUUUUGCCUUCUCUUAUUUCCUUCAAUUAAUUCCUACAACUGGUAUCAGAGUCAGUCUGUUAUCAUAAACUCUACCCAAUUAUCAGUCCCUAUCCUUGAUGGAAAAAAUUACAAUCGGUGGUGUGUGCAGAUGAAAGUUUUGUUUGAUUAUCAUGAGUUAUGGGAUGUCGUUGAGAGUGGAGUGUUUGCAUUAGCUGCUAAUGCAACUGAGGCACAACGAGUAGCGCAUCGUGAUCAGAAGAAGAAGAAGGACAAUAAGACUUUGUAUCUCAUCCAUCAAGGGAUGAAUGACGAGACGUUUGAGCAGAUAGAAUGAGCAACAACUGCCAAUGAGGCUUGGACAAUUUUGUCAACCAAUUAUAAAGGUGAUGAUAAGAUCAAAAGGCUGCGUCUUCAAACCCUAAGACGCCAAUAUGAAUUGUUGCAGAUGGAAAUCACAGAGACUAUUUAUGUCUAUAUAAAUAAAGUUCUUGCCUUCACAAAUCAGAUGAAGACCAAUGGUGAAACACAUUCGGAGCAGGCAAAGGUGGAAAAGAUUUUGAGAUCUUUAACUCCCAGAUUUGAACAUGUUGUUGCCGCAAUUGAAGAGGCCAAUGACAUUUCAAAAAUGACAGUAAGGUUAUUGUUUGGUUCUCUACGAGCGCAUGAGCAGCGGAUGAAUGACAAUAAGAUUGAAAAACCAAUUGAACAGGCUUUAGAAGCACAAGCCUCAAUUGGUAGCUCCUAUAAUAAACAUGGUAGCUAUUUCAGCAAAGGUCGUGGUGGCUAGAAUCAUGGAGGCGCUUGGCGCGGGGAACGUGGUCGCGGAGGACGAGGAGACAUUUAUAAUAAAUCAAAUGUUGAGUGUUAUAAUUUCCAUAAACGUGACCAUUAUGCAAAUGAGUGCAGAUCAAAAGGUGAUAAUCAUGCUUCCAAUUGUGCUCAAGAAGAUAGUAAUCACGAACAAGAUGAAGAGGACCAUGAAGUAUUAAUGACAACCACAUCAAAUGAAACUCCAAACAACCAGACUUGGUAUUUGGAUACAGGUUGCACGAAUCAUAUGUGUGGUCAGAAGGAGCUGUUUGCAGAUUUGAAUGACUCAUUUCGCACAAAAGUGAAAUUCGGUGAUGGCAAGUUCAUUCCAGUGAUUGGAAAAGGGCAAAUUCUUAUUACAUUGAAGAAUGGUGAUCACAGGUACAACUAUGAUGUUUUCUAUGUACCUGACAUGAAAAGUAAUCUAUUGAGUGUGGGACAACUGGCCGAAAAGGGUUACGUGAUGCACAUAGUUGAAAAUAAAUCUCAAUUUUUUAUAAAAAAAAGGUAAUUUGAUUCUUAAAAUCUUUUUAUCAAAAAACUGCAUGUUUCCAGUAGAUAUUCAUAUGGGUGAUUUCAAGUGCCUGAAUGCAAUAGUGAAUAAUGAAUCGUGGUUAUGGCAUUUACGCUUUGGGCACUUAAAUUUUCAGAGUUUGAAAAAUCUUUCCAAAAGAAAUUUAGGCUUUGUUUGGAUUAGGGAGUGGAAAUGAGGGAGUGGAUUUGAGAUGAUUUGAAGAGAAACUGUAAAGAAAGUUAGGGUGUUUGGAUUAAGGUAAAGAGAGGGGAAAGUGUAGGGAAAGUUUAUAAAAGUUUGUGAGUGAUGUGAUGGAUGUGAUUGAAAUUGUAUUUUUUUUAAUUGAUAAAAAUGUAACUUUACACAUUUGCCCUUAUAUUUAAAAAAUGAUAAAAAAAAUUAUUUUGAUUGAUUAUUUGUGAAUUACAUUUUUUUUAAAUUAAAAUUAUUUUUUCGACAAUUGAAACAUUAUUUUUGAUACCGUGUUCGAGCUAACUUCGGAAAAUUAUAAAUUAUAUAAAUUUUUUGGAUCAUAUUUAUGAUUGAUAAACAUUAUUGAGAACAAAGUUGUAAUUGUGAAUUAUUUAUUUUUCAAUUAUAGUUGUAUGCAAUUAAAAGAUUAUUUUCGGUAUGGAACAAAUUAUUUCUCAUAAUGUGUUGGAUGUAUAAUUCGAUAAAGGAUUUUUUUUUUAAGAAAUAAAUAUUAAUGUGUAUUAAUGCAGUAUUUUAGUUUAUUAAAGCAAAAUUCAUUGAUAAAUUUUGUGCAUAAUAAUAAUGAUUCAGAAAAUCAUAUGAAUGAUACAAUGAAAUAUGUUUCAUUCAAAAUAGUCAUGGAAGUCCUUAAUUUGUUUAGGGAUUCGUGUCAUUAAUAAGAUUACAGAUUCGAAAAGAAAAACACAUAUGCAUAAUAAAGUACAACCAAAUUUUUACGUAGUUUAGGGAUUUGUAGUCAUUAUCUUGACCAGCUUUCUCAUUCUUCGCUCAAGAGGCAGGCCAAAGAGUUGUUUUACCGCAUUAGGAUGACCACACAAGAAGUCGUAACAAUUAUCUAACAAAUCUCCAUCUUGUAUGUUCAUCUCCACUAACAUUUCCCAGAUGUCAUAUUCAGAGUACUGGAAAGUCGAUGUACGAGGAAGUGUGCGCGUGUGUUCACGAAAUAUGGAGUUUCGUUCUUCUUCUGCAACAACAUGGCGUCUGUUAUAUUGCAGAUUUUCUUCCGUAGCAUUAGCCACUCGCUGUGAUGACAAAGCGACAACCUUAGAUGAAAUGGCUUGUCGCUCAGCAAUAUGACAUAACCUAUCUGACUGAUCAGUACCCCUCCCAAGGAUAUCAGUUAAUCCUUCAAACCUUGUGUUAAGCCUUUCCAGUUGCAGAUCAAUGACGUCCACCAUAGGGGCUUUUCUUUUUGAGCCUCUAGAAGAAGAAGUACCACCUGAUGGCUGGGAUGACUGAGGUGGCACCAAUGGGGGUGUCAAAUUAGGGUCAGGGCUGUAUGAAUCAACAUUAGGAUCAGCUGAGCGAGGAGUUUCACAUUGAGUAGCAUCCAAUCCUGGCUCCUCUAGGAUGUCCUCCAUAUUGUGAUCAUUAAGAUCUACAUUAAAAUGAUGAGACUGAGUUCGAUUUGAGGACUGCAAUGUUGUUCUUCCACCGUGGCCAGUAGCACGAUCAAGCCCCCAAAGUCUUCCAUCAACUUGUAGUGCCUGAUGGGAUUAACACGCCAUUUUGCGGUCGAGGGCUUUGCCUGUUCAUUAAUGAAAAGAAAUACACUCAUAAUCAUAAUUAGUGGUUAAUGUAUGCGAUAAGUGAACAUCAAGUUGAAUAUGUUACCUUUAUCAACGAAUCUCACACUUCAUCCUCGGCCUCGAAAAUUUUCGUGCUUGGAUUCCAAGCAAAACCACUCAGUCCACUAAAUAGAUCAUGGAUCUCACGCCAUUUGUCCUUAAGGCUUUUCUGCCUGUUCUUCACAUUAUUUUUUGUAAUCCCUACCAAUCCAGUCUGAUGUAAGGAUUUAACAAUGUUUGUGUAACCCUGCGUCGUCCAACUACCAUCAAUGCGGUUACCCAUAGAUGCCUCAUCGAUCAUGGCAUUCAGCAAUCGGAAAUCCAUGUCGGUAGUCCAUUUUUUGUGUUCACGGACAACUGCAGAUGACUCUGAAGCAAUACCCUUCCCGUGAUCCAUGAUAAAACCUAAUAAAAAAGGUUAAAACUUUAGUACAAUAACNNNNNNNNNNNNNNNNNNNNNNNNNNNNNNNNNNNNNNNNNNNNNNNNNNNNNNNNNNNNNNNNNNNNNNNNNNNNNNNNNNNNNNNNNNNNNNNNNNNNUCAUACGUAAAUAUUAAUAAAGGUGGAAUGUCAACAUUAAACCAUGAAAUUGUUCUUACAACAAUAUAAAUAUAAGUUCACGGAUGUUACAUAAAAUUAAUUAUUACAAUAACCUUUCCACAUUUCAUUCGCUAUAGUAUCCCUAAUUUGUGACCCGAGCCUGUAGUCAUCCUCACGAGUUUGCGAGUGUGACACAUCUAUAUCUCCUUGCAUCAACUCACGGUCAACUUCUUCCAACAAAGAGUCAUCAUUAUCCACCCCGCGAAGAAAGUUAUGAAGAAUACAACAUGCUAAAACAAUAUCGGUCAUAGUGUCCACAGAGUAAUGAGGCUCUGUUCCGCUAAUGAUAAUUGGAAAUCGCUUUUUGAGGACACCAAAUGUUCUUUCGAUAACAUUUCUUAGUGAGGAAUGACGAUGAUUAAAUAACUCACGGGCAUUUUGUGGACCUCUUCGGGAAUACUCUUUUAGAUGGUAUCGAACUCCGCGAUAUGGAGUUAUAACUUGGGUUUUGAGCAUAAAACCCGCAUCUCCAAGGUAGUAUUUGCCUACAACCAUCCAUUAAUAAUUGUUACUUAUAAGUGAAUUUCAUGUCAAAAUCANNNNNNNNNNNNNNNNNNNNNNNNNNNNNNNNNNNNNNNNNNNNNNNNNNNNNNNNNNNNNNNNNNNNNNNNNNNNNNNNNNNNNNNNNNNNNNNNNNNNNNNNNNNNNNNNNNNNNNNNNNNNNNNNNNNNNNNNNNNNNNNNNNNNNNNNNNNNNNNNNNNNNNNNNNNNNNNNNNNNNNNNNNNNNNNNNNNNNNNNNNNNNNNNNNNNNNNNNNNUCGAUUGUUGUUUAAGAUAUGAGGUUCAACCUCAGUCCCAGCUGGUUGAAUUAAGAACUCUCCAUGCAUCAUCAAUAUUGCUUUCAAAACAUUAUGAAAGUGACGAGACACUGUUUCCCCGGACCGAUGAAAGAAGAACGAAACACUUCGAUUCUUGACGUUAUAACCAAUGAUGUGUAAAAAUUUAGCCACUUGUUCUUCAACUAUAGAUCGAAAUGCAUCUUUAACCAUAUCCGUUCCUCUUAUUCGUUGACAUAAAUUAAUAAAUGCUUCCGGACUCAUGCGAAUAAUGUCACGACAUCUUUCAGUAUGGACCAAGUACGACAUCAAUUCUUGUCGACGACGCUCUUUUUGUGGAAUAAACUCCGGUAUAGGAUUAUUUGUCUCGGUUAACACACGCAAUACGUUCAAUCCAUAUCCAAUCAUGCAAAGAAUUGUCAUUGCUGCUACUUAUGUCCGCAAAUUGAUUUGCUCUUGUAUUUGUGAAACUAGUGUGAAAUCAACACCAACUACAUCGGGAUUCAUGUCAUUCGUGCUAGACAUCUCGACAUUUUUGAAAUACAUAGACCAAUGGUUAUCGUUAUCCAUGGUCACAAAUCCUUGACAAUCAUAUAAGUUUAACUAUUAGGUCUAAAGAACCACCUUUUAGAGAAAUAAUAAUACUCAAUUUUUUUUACUUUUAAAAAAAAUUAAAAUAUUAUAUAUAAACUCUGUAAAGUGUUAUAAUUAUAGUUGUAUUACAAAUUCAAAAUAAUAUUUAUAAAUUUUUUUUUACUUGAUUUUAGGAAAAAAUAAAUAUUAUAUAUAAACUCUGUAAAGUGGUAUAGUUAUAGUUGUAUUAUAAAUUCAGAAUAAUAUUUAUAAAAUUCUUUUACUUGAUUUUAGAAAAAAUAAAAUCUUAUAUGUAGACUAUCUAUAAAGUAAUAUUUUAAAAUAUUUAAAUACUUUGUAUACUUAUAAUUAUUUUAUAAAUUCAGAAUAAUAUUUAUAAAAUUCUUUUACUUGAUUUUAGAAAAAAUAAAAUCUUAUAUGUAGACUAUCUAUAAAGUAAUAUUUUAAAAUAUUUAAAUACUUUAUAUACUUAUAAUUAUUUUAUAAAUUCAAAAUAAAAUUUAUAAAGUCUUUUAGCUGAUUUUGGAAAAAAAUAAAUAUUAUAUGUAAACUAUCUAUAAAGUAGUAUUUUAAAAUAUUUUGUAUACUUAUAAUUAUUUUAAAGCCUGUUCAAAAUAAUAUUUAUAAAGCUUUUUACCUGAUUUUAGGAAAAUUUAAAUAUUUAAAUAUUUUGUAUACUUAUAAUUAUUUUAUAAAUUUAAACUGAUAUUUAUAAAGUUUUUUACUUUAUUUUUAGAAAAAAAUAAAUAUCAGAAACAAUUUAAAUAUUAAUAAGUUUGUUUUAACUAUCAGAAAACUCAUUCAAACUUUCAUUAAUGCUCAUUAAUUCUCAUCAAUAUACUCAUCAAUGUGAUUAAGAAAAAACUUUGAAAACUCAAAAAGGCAGCAGCAUUCUAUUAAUUCUAUUAACAUAAAUAAAAUAAAUUACAAAUUCCUUCCCUCCACAUUUCAUUCUCAUAUUUUAUUCUCCAAAUUCCAAAUCUAUGUAUGAAACUUACCUCCAGAAACCUAGAGAAAACGAUGCCACCGCGAACCACCAACGACCACCGAGCACCACCAGCGGAACCACCACCCACCACCAGCAACGAAACCGUCCACGUCCAACGACCACCAACAACGCCGCCUACGGAACCCCACCCACACCUUGCACCUCCGACAACCGCACACCUCCAACACUUACGAACCUCCGACAACCGCUCACUUCCAACGGUUGUGAACCUCCGACAACCGCGCAUAUCCACCGCGUACCUCCGACGAGCACCUCCGACAACCGCGCACAUCCACUGUGUACCUCCGACGAGCACCUCCGACCGCUUCUAAGGGUACUCCCUCAACUCAAAACAAAUAACCCACCUCCACUCCUCUUCCAUAUUUAUCAUCUCUCUCAUUUAUUCAUCACCCACACACUUGAAUUUAUCCACCAAACAAUGUACGAAUCCCUGUUUGUGCUGUGUUUGUGUUGUGUUUAUGCAAGGAAUCUCAUGCGUGAGAAUGGAGAGAAUAUUGGAGUUGCAUGGCACGGGCAUAGGCAGCUAUGGCACAUAGGUUAGGUGAACGGAUGGGUAAUAUGGUAAAAUGAGAAAGUUUCUCUCCAAAUCUUCUCAUCUCAUCAGGGAAGCCUUUUUCCCUUUCUUUGCUUUUCUUCGCCCCCUAAUCCCCGCUAACUCCCAGAUACAAACAUCAGAUUUAUUUCCUUUUCAAUCCGGGUGAACAGUAAUCACCCGGAUACAAACACAGCAUUAGUGAAUGGUUUACCCCAUAUUCAUCACCCUGAUCAAUUGUGUGAGGCUUGCUUUUUGGAAAGAAUCAUAGGAUACCAUUUGUUAAGGAGCCUUGGCGUGCAAAAUUUCCUUUGGAGCUUGUUCAUACUGAUGUUUGUGGCCCGAUGAACAUAUCAUCAGUUGGAGGUAAUAAGUAUUUUUUAACCUUUAUUGAUGAUUUUUCAAGGAAAACCUGGAUUUUAUGUAUUGAAAAGCAAGGAUGAGGUAUUCCACUGCUUUAAAAUAUUAUAUUUAAAGCAUUUGUUGAAAGACAUAGUGGCAGACAAAUUAAGAUGGUGUGUAAUGAUGGAGGGGGUGAGUACAAGUCUAAUGAGUUCAAGAGGCAUUGUGAGGAACUUGGGUUGCAGCAUAACAUAACCUGUCCCUACACACCUCAACACAACGAAGUUGUUGAGAGAAAAAAUAGAACAAUCAUGGACACGGCGAGGAGCAUGCUUAAAGCAAAAGGUAUGCCAAAUUAUUUUUGGACUGAGGCCGUAACAUGUGCGGUAUAUUUGAUAAACAGAUCACCCACUCGGAGUGUUCCUAACACAACUCUGAUUGAGGCAUGAAGUGGAUUCAAACCCAAUGUGCAGCACUUGAAGGUAUUUGGGUCAAUUACUUAUGCUCAUGUUCCCAAGGCAGCAAGAUCGAAGUUGGAUGAUAAGGCAGAGAAGACCAUUUUCAUUGGAUAUAAGCAUGGGGAUACAAAUUGUACAAUCCAAUGACAAAGAAGGUGAUUGUUAGUCGUGAUGUUACAUUUGCCGAAGAUGAGGAAUGACAAUGGAAUGCAACAGUUGAAAUUGAUUCAAAAAAACGAUAUAUUUACGUUUUGAACGAUGAUGUGGAAGAUGGAGUCACUCUUAAAGCACCUACAGUUCAACCUGAAGCUGUAAUUCAACCUGAAAAUGCAACUCCAAUUGCAACUAUGAUGGAGCGACCAAGAAGGCAACAACGACAACCUGUACACCUUCAAGACUACGAAGUAAAUCUUGACGAUGAAGUUGAUGACAAUGGAGAUUUAGUUCACUUUGCUUUUGUUGCAGACUCAGAACCUGUGAGACUUGCCGAUGCCAUUCAACACCCCAAAUAGCAAAAGCCUAUGAAUGAAGAAUUGAUGGCGAUUGAGAAAAACAAUAUCAUGACUCAAAUUGGGAAGGAUGUUCCAAAUCAUAAUUAAGGGAGGAUGUUGGUUAUUAAUUCUGAUUUUAUUAUUAUUAAUUCUGAUUUUAUUACCUUAAACUAUUUUACCGUUAUAUUGCAUUAAUGGUCAGUUUAAUGGCAUGUUAGUAUUCCUAUUUUAUAUAGGUUCCAGUAAUUGUAAUUUUAUUAUAUAAAUGAUUGAGUAAAUUAAAAUGAAUAGAAUCAAUUUUACAAUUUCGUGCAAUUACGUUCAAUCAACAUCUAAUUUAAAAAACCAUUUUUGCAUAGGACGGAAAAUAGUUCGCGUCCUAUAAGCAAAGCUAAAUUUUAUUCUCACUAGUUUUAAACACUACAAAAAAAAACUUUUAUUAGAAAGGGCCAAAGGCGGACACUAAUCACAAAAAGCCCACGCAAAGAUGCAAUUAACGUGGGCUUUGCCUUCACACAACUUUGAAGCUAAUAUCCUUGUCGCAAAAAAACUGUCGGGUGCGUGGCGUCGCAAAAUGUUGGCUUGCGUGGGCUUUGCCUACAAGUUGCCAACACAAAAAAUUACAAAUGUUAACUUAAGCGGGGGCUUAGCCUUGGACAGAAAAUGAGGGCUUAGGCUUAGCUAGGGGGACAAUAAAAUUAGCGUGGGCUUAGCCUUGGAUAAGGGGACAAUAAAAGUAAAAAUAAAGCGUGGGCUUAGCCUUGGAUAGUGGGACAAUAAAAUUAGAAUAAAGCGAGGGCUUGACCUUGGUAAAGUGACAAUGAAAUUAGAAUGGGCUUAACCUUGGAUAUGUGGACACCUUUUUUUUUGUAUGCACUAUUUUUGGCAGCUAUUGAACUCCACUUUUAAAUAAAAGUUUGGAUUUUAAAUAUUAAAUAUUAAUAUUUUUUAAUUUGCUUUUUUUUUUGCAAUAGCAUUAAAAAGAAAAAAACAUCAAUGAAUUGAUAAGUUAAAAACUAAAAAACAAAAGUAAUGAAUAAAUUAUUAUAUUGAUGAAUAAAAAGUGUUUAAGCACCGGAAGAUGGACAUUAAUUAGUUAGCUUGGUUAUCUUAGUGAUUUCAUUAUUCUUCUUCUUAGGUUUAAGCUUUGUUGAAAUGCCUUCCAUUUGCGCUGCUUACUAGUUAUGUUUUAUCAAAACAUAUGCAAUGAAAAAACUAUCAUUUUAAUACAUUUAAGAAACAUUGUUCUAUAAUAAAUAUUUUUAUUAUAGAAAGUUAUGCACCCAACAGCUGGUUCUCUAGCUUAAGUUAUGCUUAAGUUAGUAAUUUAGCUGGAUGACCACAGUUGUGAAUGAGUAGUUUGAUAGGCUGGUUCUCUAGCUUCCAUGAUCAUCUUUUCUGGAUUCUAUGAAUAUAUUGUUUAUCAAGUUUCUCUGGACACAUAACAUAGUAUCUAAAAUUGGGGAUCGUACAACAACAACAAAGGUUUAAGGAUAGCUACAUACACAAACAUUUAAAUCAUAUGGUAUAACAUCUUGGCUCUUAUAUGUUAAAGAGAUGAUUAUAUUCAAAAUUGUAUAUUGAUCACACAGAAUCCUCUAUGGAGUUACUAAUUAAAUUGCAGAUGUCACUGCAUAUACCCUAAAAGAGNNNNNNNNNNNNNNNNNNNNNNNNNNNNNNNNNNNNNNNNNNNNNNNNNNNNNNNNNNNNNNNNNNNNNNNNNNNNNNNNNNNNNNNNNNNNNNNNNNNNNNNNNNNNNNNNNNNNNNNNNNNNNNNNNNNNNNNNNNNNNNNNNNNNNNNNNNNNNNNNNNNNNNNNNNNNNNNNNNNNNNNNNNNNNNNNNNNNNNNNNNNNNNNNNNNNNNNNNNNNNNNNNNNNNNNNNNNNNNNNNNNNNNNNNNNNNNNNNNNNNNNNNNNNNNNNNNNNNNNNNNNNNNNNNNNNNNNNNNNNNNNNNNNNNNNNNNACUCUUGAACAACAAAACAGAUCCAUGCAUAAUCCAAAUAUAAAACAAUACCAUUUCUAAUUUUUGGAUUGAUUUCCAUAGUGAAUCUAAUUACACCAAAAUGAAGAAGUUUGUGAUUGAACAUUGAAAGGCAAUGACACUUGCCAAAUGUUUUAAGCAAAGAUAGAUGUCACAACCCAGUGUGUCUGUCUUCCCAGAGGAUGAAAAGAGAACAUAUAUAUCUACGUACCUCACAAAAUUGCAAUAUUUUCCCAAAACAGAAAAAUGAGAGAUACUGCAUGAACACACUGCCAAUAAGAUACUUACCCAAAAUUGCAAUCCUUUUUUCCUUGCUUAUAUCACGAACUUUUACUGCAUGAACACACUCACUCAUCACAACACUACCAAGAAGAUAAAAACAUGCACAUCACAACACUACCAAGAAGAUAAAAACAUGCUCAUCACAACACUGCCAAGAAGAUAAAAACAUGCAAAGAGUCAUGCAUGCAAUGUGAGUAAUACAUAAAUGACUCAACCUCUCCAUGUCUUUCUAUUGCAUUGCAUAAAUUCUUGUCAAGGAAACUACAAACCAAACUUAAGAAAUGUUUUAAGAAAACUAACAAAAUGAUGAACUCAAGGCAGGGGUUGAUCCAAAAUUUGCUACACCAAAACAAAUCCAAAAUUAAUUCACUACUAGAAAACUAAAGAUCAAUAAUUCUCUCCUUAAUUUCAAUUACACCAUGUAAAAGGGUCAAAUUUCACUAUGAAUCCAGGACUGGUAAAAGCUAAGAGAAGCCUAAAUUACUUAGAAAUGGACAACUUAAAAAAGAGAGUAAAAAUUGCGAAAAAAAAUGCAUAAGGGGCAAUAGAGAAAGAAGCAAGAGUUCACUGACAAGUGGCAUGGCUGAACAGGGCAAGAAACAUAAACUUUUAAUGGCCAUGAUAUAUUUUCUUUAUCUUUUUUUCACAAUUAAUUCAGUACUUCAUAUUAAGUAGUUAAAAAUUCUGCCAGACAAAUCCUCCCCAAAUUACACGACCUCUAAACCCACAAGAACUGCCAGACUGCCAGUCAAACUACAAGGUUAGCAAUGAAUCCAACCAAAACUUAGAAUCCAAACAAGAAGUUUAGUCAGUCACAAAUAAAGACUCAAGAAUGGUAAGGGUAACAAAACCUAAAGCUUCACAAAUCCCCUGGGAUGUGUUUCCACAUCUUACCUCACAUAUCAGUCUGGAAAAAUAUGCUCUAUCUACAAUGUUUCAAAUAAAGGGGAGACAUCUUCCCUGAGCAUUUUAUUAUUACUAACCUAUGAUUUGCUAAAAAGAAUCAAACAAAAACAAUAUUCAAAUUUAUGUUUUUUAAUCCCUGCUGAAAAAGAACUAACACAAAGUUACAUAUGAUAGAUUUUUGUCAUCAAAUAAAUAACUACAUCCAAACUCAAGUAAGCAUCUCCUUCCAGUAUUUAGAUCUCCUACCUCACAUCCGUGGCUUGUUUUUCGUGUACACUAGCAGAUUUUAAUCCUUAACCGGUUUUACAUGCUAAAAAGAAAUGAACACAAACGAAUCAACACCUAGACAUAAAAAAUUUAAGAACUAUAUUUAAAUUCAAAUAGAUAUUGGUAAUAAAGACCAAGAAUUUAAGAAAGCAUAAGAUGAAUUGAAGGAAUAAAAAAACCAGAGAAAUUCAAAUAGUCAGUCCCAGUUAAAGACAAAAAUAUGUGUGGAUGCAAAGAAGAUCGAUAAUCAUGCAACACAAAUUAGGCAAGAACAUUGUUCCUUUGCACGAACCAAGUUCAAGUUCAAAAUUCAUUUGUCAAUGAAAGAAACUAAUAAAGUAUAUCUGACAGACACAUCAUAUAUUACAAACUUCAAUAAUCAACAAGAACUAUAUUCAAAUUUAUAUUUUUUAAUCCUCAACUGGAAUCAUGUUGAAAACGAACUAACGCAAGCACAUAAACGGUUACAUAUGAUAGAUCUAACAUAAAAUAAAUAACUACAUCCAAACUCAAGUAGACAUUUGUCAUGAAAGAAAGACAAAAAAUGUAGGAUAACAAAACCUAACGCAUCAAGGAUCUCCAUCCAGUAUUUAGAUAUCCUACCACACAAAGAAAUCAACACCUACACAUACAAAUUUUAAGAACAAUAUUUAAAUUCAAAUAGAUAUCAAUAAUAAAAACCAAGAAUUUAAAAAAGGAUAAGAUAAAUUAAUGAAUUCAAAAACCGGUGGAGCCUUAGUUGCUCAAAACACGCACGAUGAGGUAGAAGAUUCAACCCUUAGGCCUUAUAUAACAUACUCCAUGAUAUGGUGCAGGGCAUUAAGUGAAAAUAAUUCAAACAUCGAACACAAUUCAAUCCUUGGAGAUCAAGUAGAGAGAAAUUAAACAAUAGAGAGGAAACUCAUCAAGAAAUUAGGAUAUCCUGAGCUGCAGUCGUUUUAAACUCUUUUAGAGUUUAGGGUUUCAAAUAUCAAGUAGAAAAAAUUCAAUCAUCGAACACCAUUUAAUCCUUGGAGAUCAAGUAGAGAGAAAUUAGGGAAACAAAACAUAAUACUUCACAUCAUGUCCUACACUACACCACACAUCCAUUGCGUGCUUUCCCUGUACAGCCCAAAAAUUCAAGAAACGAAUUAGCUGUACAGCCAAAAAUUCAUGAAAACGAAAUAACCUCUUAAUAAAAAGAAGUAUAGAAAAAUGAUAAAAAUGAAGAUGCAGAUGCAGAUAAAGACUAAAAAAGACUUGGACAGUUACACAACCAAACACCACUGCAGACAAACACCAAUAAACAAAUCAUAAUCCAAUCCUUAUUUUCGGUGAUCAAUACCAGAUAAAUUAAAUAAUAGAAAGGAGACUAAAACAAGACUUGGAUCAAUUGGCCUUUCUAAACUAUUAUGUUUUUCAUUUCAUCGAUAGACAAAACAAAUCUCAAAACCAAGUCACCAGCAGAAAAGGGAUAAAGGAAUUUGAUCAAAAGAUUCAAAACUUGCCAUCAUCACAAAGAAUCACAUUCGGCGUAAAUGAAUCACAAUCCAAUAAAAGCACAUUAAUCACUUACAAAUAAUUUUUCUAUCCCACGACGCAAACAUCAUGUAAUUCUACAAAACCUUAUAGAGAAUCACAACAAUAACCGAAGCAAUACUAACAAAACUGAUCUUGGAUAUAUAUGUAAUACUAACCAAUGACUAAAUCUAAUAACCCAGCAACCAGAAACUAAAUCUAAUAACCCAGCAACCAGAAACACAGUGUUAGGGUACAAUCGAGAUGGAUUGAAAACGAAAGGAAAUGCAAAACUUACGAUGUUAGGGCACAAUCAAGAACACGGUCGUACUCCGGUCGCAAUGCUUGAAUGCUCAACAGAGAGAGUACUUCGGUCGCAAUGCUUGAAUGCUCAACAGAGAGAGUACUCCGGUCGCAAUGUGAGAAUGUUGUUGAUGCUGAGGAAAAGUGGAGUGAAGUGAGUAUUGCAUGGAGAGAAUUGCUUCAGAAUUGAAAAAUGAAAGAAGAAAAAGAAAAGAAGGGAUUAAAGUAAAGCAAAAAUAAAAAUUAAUUAUUUGUGUGUAAUUUGCAUGGGCUUAACCUUCUUAUUAUUUAAAUUUAAUUUUAAAACUUUUAACGUGGGCUUAACCUUCAAAUAUUUAAAUUUUAAUUAUUUUUAUAAUUUUAGUAGCUGCCAUUUCAACAACGCAACCAUUAUUAUUAUUUUUUUUUUGAAGUUUACGUGAGAAUAACACACGCUUUCCUCACACCUUAUUUAAUUUAUUUUAGGUUUAAUGGAUACUAUAUAGUGUCCACUUAUGGCCUUCAAUAUUUGUUUGCAGCUAAAUUAAGAUUUCUUUGUAAUGAAAUAACUUUUUUUUUACCACCAAAAGGAAUUUAGAAAAAACGAGAAAUUGAACAAUAAGAUGAACGAUGUGAUAAAGACCAAAUAAAAAUAUAUUAAGAAUAAAAUCAUUUUAGUGUUACUUAUAAAAGAAUAGUACACAUCAGAUUUCUCUGGUUACUGAUAAUAGAAUUUAUAUAAUAAAUAAAUUAUUCAUACGAGAUUACAUAAAACUAACUCAAAUUUAACCAUAGAUUGAUGACAGCUUCAUAUAUUGGAGUUUUUUUACGUGAAUUUUUUAUUAUUAUUAAGACUCUUAGGACCAAUCAAACAAUAGAACACAGUUUGAAGAGUCUUAUCAUGUACGCAACGAAGUACCAAAUAAAAUUUUGAGAUGUGUUACAACUAUACCUGGUAAAAGUGGGAUAGUCCAACCUCAUUAAACUCUUCAAGAAAAAAAUGUGAUCAUAUAGACUACUCCAUAAUUUCAACAAACACCAAUUUUCAGGUUUAGUUCCAUUCUAUAUUAUAACAUUUCAUUUUCACUUAGAAAAAAUAAAUUCACCUCCACACUUACAACUUUAUCUACUUAAACCAAUUUAAUCCAACUACGUGUUAAGAAUAUAAGUAUAAAUUUGAGUCUCAUUUAAUAAAUAUAAGAAGUUGAAUAACAAAUAACUAUGAAUAAAUAUAAAAAGUUGAAUAACAAAUAACUAAUCUUAAGUUUAGCACAAAACACAAUUAGUUCAACUAAAAACUUACAAAAAAUAUUGGAAGCAUCAAUGGAGCUUAUUGCAAUAAAAAAAAAUCUAAACAAAACAUUGUUUUGUUAAAAUGUGCAUCUAUUAGUUAAUAAGUUUAUUAUAAAACUUGUAUUGAUUUUCAUUUUCACUCAAAUUAUUUUAUUUUUUUAUAUCUUUAAUCAUGUAACGACAUGUUAUAUUCUUUUGUAGGAUAUCAUAUGAACCCGAGGGAUAAUUAAGACAAAGGUUUGGAUUUCUAAAAAUAAUAUUAAUAAUGCAAAUAAUAUUAAUAAUCUAAAUAAUAUUUAUAAAAAAAUUAUACUAGACAUUACAAACAUCUCACUUAUAUUGACAUUUCAAAUUUCAACCACCUCUAUUGAAAAAAAAAAUUAUUAAACAAGUAAAAAAAAAUACAAACAAGUACGAGAAAUUAAAACAAAAUCCAUACUAACCAUAAAAUACAUCAAAACUAAACAAGAGAAACAUAGUUAAUUUAUACCUAUUAUGGAAAAUGUUCAAGAAUAUAUUAAAAUAAUAUAUUAAAAUACAGUCUAUUAUACCAAAUAAAGUCUUACCUAUAAAGAAAGUCUAAAUUGACAGAUUUAUCAUUACCCCUCUUAAAAUAUGAAAGACAUACUUUUACAAUAAAUAAGACAUUUAUUUCAUUUAUUCUUAAUAAAUCAUCAAGUCACAUGAGUCAUAGAAGGAAAAGCAAAGCAAACUAAUAUGAUUCACACUCUUACCAUAAUAAAUUAUAAACCAAUGUAAAUAACAUUUAAUGAGGGAUAAAUUUUUUCAAUAAAUAAUAAUAUUUUUUAAUUUAUUUUUAGUUAUUUGUGAAUCUCAUUUCGAUUUGAUAUUUAAUUUGAGUGUCAUAUUGUCAUUAACCAAUAUUUAAUUGUUUUUUCUCUUAUUCUAUUAUUGUGUCAUUCCAUUUGGAGCAAUAGAGGGGCUAGUUUAGUGUAUGUGUUGGCAUUUGAUUUGUUCCUUUUCGGUAUGUUCGUACAAGGUAAAAUCGUAAAAAGGAAAAAUUAGAAAACUGUCUUGUUAGAGUAUUGUGUUAGCAUAAUAUUGAUCUCAAAAUAAGGUUAUUUUGUAUGUUAUUGUUUUAUAAAUCUCAAAACAAAUUUUGCAGGUUCAAGAAAAAGCUUUGGAAUAUGGAAAUUAAAUAUAAAUAUUUAUCAAAGAAUAGAAAAAUACUUCAAGUUAGCAUGUUCCUCAAUUGGAAUAUCGAUCUCAAAAUAAGUUUAUUUUUGUACUUCACUAUUUUAUAAAUCUCAAAAAAAAAUUGCAGGUUCAAGAAAAAGCUUCGGAAUAACAAAAUUAAAUUUAAAUAUUUAUCAAAGGAUAAAAAAAAAAUUAAAAAAAAAAUACUACGAUCAAGUUCAUUUUCUUGAAAACUUUACGAGCUCUAAAAUAAAUAAAAAAUACAACUAAUUAUUCAGAAAUUUAUGAACUUGGAAAUUUUUAAUUUUCAUUAAGAAUAAUUAUUUUUUAUGAUAUGUUAUUUGCAAUUAAUUAAUCUAGUAAAAAAUUACAAUCAAAUAACGAGACUAUUGAUAAAUUAAAAGGUAUUCGUUUAUUUUAUUUCUGUAAAUUAUAGGAAAAAUGAAUUUGAAAAUGCAUUGUCUUCUGCUAAAGAAAUUGCUUUUGAAAUAGAUACAGAGUAUAAGUUAUGUGAAAAACAUGGUAGAUCUGUUGAUAAUAUAAGUUAUGUGAAAAACAUGGUAGAUGUGUUGAUAAUGAAAUUCUAAAAUCUCCUAAAAAAUCAUUUAGAUUUUAUGACUUUCUAUACAUUCAAAGAAAACAAUUAACUCCAAAGUUGAUUUAAGAAUUCAAAAUAUAAGAAAAUAUGAAAAAUAUUUGAAGAAUAAUUUCGUGAUAUUGAUGGAUUAUAUUUAUUUUCAAAAUUUAAUAUCUUAAAAGAAAUGACAGAAUUGAAAAAUAAUAACUAAUUGACCUUCUAAAUCAUAUAAAAUAAAUAAAUUAUUUUCCAAAUAUAUAUAUAAGAGAGGGAUUACAGGUAAUAAAAUAAUAUAAAUAUUCUAGUACUACCAAUAUAAUCAAGAAAUUAAGGUGAAUGAGAAUUUAUAUUUUUUUUCUCCAAUCCAUAAAGAAAUGUUUUAAAAAAAAUCAUUAUAAAAGAUCGAUCUAUUAUAAAGUGGAUUUUAAGCUUAACUCAAUCCCAUAAAACUGGUUUAAUCCCAUAAAACUGGUUUAUAGGGUUGAGGAUUGCACCCACUUAUAUACGAUGAAAGACUCUAAUCUCUAGUCGAUGUAGAUUCCAACAUCAACCUCAAAUAAUAUUUCUUGUAAUUAAGAUCAAAACAGUAAACGAUUACAAUAUCGAUUGAUUUCGUUGAAAUGAUUUUUUUAAAACUAAAAGUUACUUAAUAUUAUCAACGAAACCCGAGGCUCACCUCUCCUUUGACCAUGUUAAUUCACAAUCUCUUUCACUAUGCCAUUAAAUGAGUUUGGAACAAGUUUUGUCUUUCUCACCGUCGUCAUGCUUCCCAAGGACCCAUUCACUUAACUCUUCGUGCGUUCCAAUGCAAACAAGUCAGGGUUUUGAUUUGCUUCCUACGAAUCCAAAAUUAGUAACUACAGAAUGUUGUUUGUUGUUGACUCUACAAAUUUAGGGUGGGAAAGAAAAGUUUAUAUCAUACUACUCCACUUCAUAUGCUACUUCAUUUGAUUUUUUUAUUGGUUGUUCUUUGAUGAAGUUUUUCAUUGCUGUUGAUGUUCUUGGUGGUUCUUUGGUCAAGGUGUCUAUUGCUACACGGUGUGUGGGUGAAUUUGUUGGUGACUAGAUUUUUUUGUUAUCAUGGGCUGGUGCAUAGUUGUACCUUUUUUUUUUCAUUGAAAAUUUAAUUUGUAUGGGUGAAAUCUAAACUAUAAAGAUGAUGAAAUUUGCUAAUUCUAGAAUACGUUGUGAUUUUGCAACUAUUUUAUUUUACUUCUACUAUGUGUGAAUUUAGUAAGGUUGAAACCAUCUUGAAAUCUUUUUUAUAUUUAUUUAAACUAUGAUUUGACUCUCGCUAUUUGUUUAUAUUUUAAUAUUAAUUAGGACUUAAUCCUCUUUAAGUUAGAGUAUGUUAAGGUUGCGACCUCUCUAGGUUAGAGUAAGCAAGGUCUUGAUCCUCUCUCUAAUUUAGAGUUAAAGUUUUCCAAUUUCCAAUAAACAACUCUUUUACGUUGUUAAGCCCACUCUAUUAACGAGAGUCCAAUCUACAUUAUUAGUUUCCACUUAGAGAGGACUUAUGAUUGUUAUAGGUUGACGUAAAUAAAAAAGUCAUUUUCAAUCCGUUCACGGUGUAUGGAACACUAUAUGUCCACAUUAAUUAUAAUGUAACGACUUCUUUUUCAAUUUUAGUCCAUCUUUGACUCAUGCUAUAGACAUUUUUCUUGUAAUUUGAUAACUUUGGAUAUUAGAAUGAGAAAUUUUUCUCGGUCAUCAUCCACUGAAUUUGAGUGUUGGAGUGACUAAUAACUCAAUUAAGGGAAACUUCAAAAUAUUAAUUCAUAAAUCACAUUUAUUAUAGAUAUAAAUGUAAAUUUGAGAAUAGGGAAUUAUGAUUGUAUUAAAAAAUAAAUAUUAUUUGUGUGUUUUUAUAACAUGAUUGAUAAAACUUACGUAACCAUUUAAAAUUAAAGCGAAAUAGGAUUAAUUGAGAAAUGUAUCGAUUAGCACAUGUAUGUUCUUUUCAACGGCUUUGGUGACCUAAUUAGAAAACGUCAAACUAUACUGGCAACCUAACUGGAAAACUUCAAACUAUACAGCCAUUCCAUUACUUGUGGAGUAAGGCAAAAAUGCCUUUGUGUUUACUUUUCUAGUAUACGUGCAAGUGUACAGGUCCACUAAUUUCGCAUAUGGUUCUUUCAUUGGCUUUUUAUUGAGUAUAGAUAUGAAAUAUAUUUGGUCCACGUCAAAAAGAAAAAGAAUUGAAAGCGAAACCAAAAAGCGAAAAAAAAAGUAGAAUUAGAAAAUUAAAUAAAUGUUGAAGUUAUUUGAUAAAAUAUAAAUAAUUAUGUUUUCUAUUUCAUUUCUCCUAUUGCAUCAUAUCACGUGACCUAUUUAUAUUCAUAUUGAUUUACUAGGAUUAAUAGUGUUGGAAAGGAAAUAUCAAUUUUGUUUCUUCUACAACUUAACAAUUAACUUAAAUGCUUGUUUGGUAUUGUUAUAAAUCUGAGACUUAGACUGAAAAGUGAAUUGUGAACUUAUGUUUAUUAUUAGAUUAAAAAGUGAGUUGUGAACUUAGGUUUAUUAUUAUAAAUUAUUUAUACUUAUUUUAUUUGUGUAGUAAGUUACGUGUGUUUUUAUUAGUUGAAUGGUGUUGGUUAUUAAUUAUGAUUUCUAUUAUUAAUACUGAUUUCACCGUUAUACCGUUAUUGUUUCAUUAAUGGUUAGUUUACUUAUUUCCUUCCAUUAGUUUCCUACAAUUGGUAUCAAGAGCUAGUCUGUUAUCAUGAACUCUACCCAAUUACUAGUCCUAUGGAAAAAAUUACAAUCAGUGGUGUGUGCAAAUGAGAGUUUUUUUUAUUAUUUAUUAUCAUGAGUUAUGGGAUGUCGUUGAGGGUGGAGUGGUUGCAUUAGCUGUUAAUGCAAUUGAGGCGCAACGAGUAGCGCAUCAUGAUGACAAUAAGGCUUUGUAUCUCAUCCAUAGGGAUGAAUGACAAGACGUUUGAGAAAAUAUAAGGAGCAACAACUGCAAGUGAUGCUUGAAUCAUUUUGUCAACCAAUUAUAAAGGGUGAUGACAAGAUCAAUAGGGUGCGUCUUCAAACCCUAAGACGCCAAUAUGAACUGUUGCAGAUGGAAACCACAUAGAUUAUUGAUGUCUAUAUAAAUAAAGUUCUUGCCUUGACAAAUCAGAUGAAAAGCAAUGGUGAAACACAUUCGGAGCAGGCAAAGGUGGAGAAGAUUUUGAGGUCUUUAACUCCCAGAUUUGAACAUGUUGUUGCCGCAAUUGAAGAGGCCAAUGACAUUUAAAAAAUGACAGUAGGGUUAUUGUCUGGUUACCUACCAGCGCAUGAGCAGCGAAUGAAUGACAAUAAUAUUGAAAAACCAAUUGAACAGGCUUUACAAGCACAAGACUCAAUUGGUAGCUCUUAUCAUAAACACGGUAGUUCACGAGGCAGAGGACGGGGACAUGGUGGUAGCUAUUCCAGCAAAGGUCGUGGUGGCUAGAAUCAUGGAGGCGCUGAGCAAAAUAACAUUGGUUUCAAUCACAUUCCAAGUUCAAAUAACUCUUGACGUGGAGAACGUGAUCGCGGAGGAUGAGGAGGCAUUUAUAAUAAAUCAAAUGUGGAGUGUUAUAACUGUCAUAAACGCAACCAUUAAGCAAAUGAGUGCAGAUCAAAAAGUGAUAAUCAUGCUGCCAAUUGUGCUCAAGAAGACAGUAAUCACGUACAAGAUGAAGAGGAUCAUGCAUAACUAAUGACAGCCACAUCAAAUGAAACUCCAAACAAUCAGACUUGGUAUUUGGAUACAGGUUGCACAAAUCAUAUGUGUGGUCAAAAGGAGUUGUUUGCAUAUUUGGAUGACUCAUUUUGCACAAAAGUGAAAUUCGGUGAUGGCAGGGUCGUUCCGGUGACUGGAAAAGGGCGAAUUCUUAUCACAUUGAAGAAUGGUGAUCACAGGUACAUAUAUGAUGUUGUCUAUGUACCUGAUAUGAAAAGUAAUUUGUUGAGUAUGUGACAACUGGCUGAGAAGGGUUAUGUGAUGUACAUAGUUGAAAAUAAAUUCUCAAUUUUUGAUAAAAAAUGUAGUUUGAUUCUUAAAACCUUUUUAUCAAAAAACCGUAUGUUUCCAGUAGAUAUUCAUAUGGGUGACUUCAAGUGCUUGAAUGCAAUAGUGAAUAAUGAAUCGUGGUUAUGGCAUUUACGCUUUGGGCACUUAAAUUUUCAGAGUUUGGAAAAUCUCUCCAAACGAAAUUUAGUGAAUAGUUUACCCCAUAUUUAUCACCCUGAUCAAUUGUGUGAGACUUGCAUUUUUGGAAAGAAUCACAGGAUACCAUUUGUUAAGGAGCCUUGGCGUGCAAAAUUUCCUUUGGAGCUUGUUCAUAUAGAUGUUUGUGGCUCAAUGAACAUAUCAUCAGUUGGAGGUAAUAAGUAUUUUUUAACCUUUAUUGAUGAUUUUUCAAGGAAAACCUGGAGUUAUCUAUUGAAAAGCAAGGAUGAGGUAUUCCACUGCUUUAAAAUAUCAUAUUUAAAGCAUUUGUUGAAAGACAGAGUGGCAGACAAAUUAAGAUGAUGCGUAGUGAUGGAGGGGGUGAGUACAAGUCUAAUGAGUUCAAGAGGCACUGUGAAGAACUUGGAUUGCAACAUAACAUAACAUGUCUCUACACACCUUAACACAAUGGAGUUGUCGAGAGAAAGAAUAGAACAAUCAUGGACAUGGCGUGGAGCAUGCAUAAAGCGAAAGGUAUGCCAAAUUAUUUUUGGGCUGAGGUCGUAACAUGUGCGGUAUAUUUGAUAAAUAGAUCACCCACUCGGAGUGUUCCUAACACAACUCCGAUUGAGGCAUGGAGCGGAUUCAAACCCAAUGUGCAACACUUGAAGGUAUUUGGGUCUAUUACUUAUGCUCAUGUCCCCAAAGCAGCAAGAUCGAAGUUGGAUGAUAAGGCAGAGAAGACCAUUUUCAUUGGAUAUAAGCAUGGGGGAUACAAAUUGUACAAUCCAAUGACAAAGAAGGUGAUUGUUAGUUGUGAUGUUACAUUUGUCGAAGAUGAGGAAUGGCAAUGGAAUGCAACAGUUGAAAUUGAUUAAAAAAAAACGAUAUAUUUACGUUUUGAACGAUGAUGUGGAAGAUGGAGUCACUCUUGAAGCACCUGCAGUUCAACCAGAAGCUGCAAUUCAACCUGAAGUUGCAAAUCCAAUUGCAACUAUGAUGGAGCGACCAAGAAGGCAGCAACGACAACCUGUACACCUUCAAGAUUGGCGAAGUAAAUCUUGAUGAUGAAGUUGAUGACAAUGGAGAUUUGGUUCACUUUGUUUUUCUUGCAGAUUCAGAACCCAUGAGACUUGCAGAUGUCAUUCAACACCCCAAAUGGCAGAAGGCUAUGAAUGAAGAAUUGAUGGCGAUUGAGAAAAACAAUAUCAUGACUCAAAUUUGUUUUAAUCCAGAUAUUCCAAUUAAGAUUUAUGUUGACAAUGUCUCUGCAAUUAAUCUUGCAGAGAAUCCAGUUUUUCAUCAAAUAAGUAGUCACAUUGAUAUUCGAUAUCACUUCCUGCGAGACCAAGUUAAGAAGAACAUGAUCAAAUUGGAAUACUACAGAUCAGAAGAUCAGAUUGCAAAUAUUUUCACUAAGCCAUUGAAGAUCAAUGCUUUCAUCAAGUUAAGAAAUCUGUUGGGUAGGAAGGUUGCUCCAAAUCAGAAUUAAGGGAGGAUGUUGGUUAUUAAUUCUGAUUUUAUUAUUAUUAAUUCUGAUUUUAUUAUGCUUAAACUAUUUUACCGUUAUUAUUGCAUUAAUGGUCAGUUAGUAUUCCUAUUUUAUAACUUCCAGUAUUUGUAAUUUUAUUAUAUAUAUUAUAUAUAUUAUUGAGUAAAUCAAAAUAUAUGAUACCAGCUCAACAGUUUUGCAAUCUUGUGCAAUUACCUUCAAUCAGUUUCUACAACAUUUUGCCUUCUCUUAUUUCCUUCAAUUAGUUCCUACAAAUGAGAAUAUAAUUAAUAUAAUUAUUUAAUAAGAAACUUAUAUACCACCUCAAGUUAUUUUGGAGUCAAAAUAUUAUAGGAAUGGUUAUCAAUGAAUGAUUUACUAAAAGUGGUAAAUUUUCUUGAGGUUUUAUGAAUGUGAAACCUAAAUAUGUAAAUUUUGAUAGUCAAAAGACUAAUCCCUUUAAGAAUUAAUAUAUUUCAAUAAAAGUGAUUGGAUAUGGUUUUAGUUUGGAGUCAACAACUUAAAGAGACUUGUGUCAAUGUGUAAUCUAUUCUAAUCCACAUAGGUUGAACUCCUAUUAAGGAUACAUAAAUUUUUAAUCUGAUCAACAAGCUAAAGAGAUUGUAUUAAAAAUAUUUCAGUAGUCUAACAGUGGUUGCGAAUUCACGUGAUAUGUGUAGCUCUCAAAGUAAAUAACUUGUUUUCCAAGCUAUCCAAAGAGAUCAAUAUACUUGUCUCCCAAGAGAUUUAUUACUACCCAUGUCAUUUAGACACAAAUAUUUAUGAUAUUGGUAAAAUUAAAAAAAAAUAACUUUACCUACAAAUAGUUAAAAUAUUUGAAAUAAGUGAAGUAAAUGAAUAAUAUAAAUUUAUUCAGAGAUUAUUUAUUAUGAUAAACCUAAUUUAUUUUAAAAGAAUAUAUGACUAAUACAUUUUUUACUUACUCAAAUAUAGUUUAAUUUAUUUUAAAAAAAAUCCAAAAGCUAAAACUUUAGAACAUAAUAUUUUAAAUGUUUUACUUUACACGUGUAAUCCUUAACUAUUUAAAUGUUAUACAAUUAUUAUAGAUAUAAUAACUAUUUUAAAGAAAAUAUUUUAUUUAUUUUAUACAUUUUUCUUACAACAACAAAAUAAAAACCAUAGAUAAAUCCCACUCUUUUAGUGUUUUUUUUUUCUUUCUCUUUUCUCAAUUUGCCAAUUUGCCGUCAUUGUUGAAGAUCUCACCCACUAAUCAAAGUCAUAUUUGAUGUGAAUGUUCUCUUCAAUUCAAAGUUUAUCUUAAUAUUAUGCUAAACUUAGACUUAGUCUAAACCUUACUGACUUGAUUUCAACUUUUCUUUAUAUUUCUUCUUUUUAUACAUAACUUUUCAAACUUUUAAUCUUACACAAAAAGCAUGUCAUUCUUCUCUGACAACAUUUUAUUUCAAUUUUUCUUGAUGGUGUGCUUCAUUUGAAAUUUCAUUUUACUUUAUAUUUCAAUUUUGCUCAUAAGUUAUGAUUGGAGUUUAUUCUAAUUUUUUCCAGUGUCUUAAUAUUUUUCCAUAGUGUGUUUGAUUUUUUAAUUUUCUAUGCAAAAAUUAGUGUUAAUAAUUGUGUCUAACUUUUCUUGUACUCUGUCCUUUAGUUUGAAUGCUUCAUCCUCUGUUCUGCUUCUAAUUUUUCUUAUAUUUUAUCCUGUGUUUUGAAUGCUUAAACUUUUACACUUGUUUUAACCUGUUUUGCUAUUAAUUGUUGUUUACUUGUUGUGAUAUAAGGUUUGCGUGAUUAGUUAGUUGAUGGCAUACAAGUAAUGAAGAACUUUUAAGUAACACAGUUAGUUAAUACUCAAUUAUUAAAAUAUUGCAAGACAUUUCUUAAAAGUGUUUUAUGUUUUAUGUAAUUGUAUUUACCUAUAAUGAAGUUGAUAGCGAAAGAAAUAUUUAAUACUUUUUUUUUCUUUUUUUUUUCUUUUGGAAGGAAUCGAGGGAUACAAACUAUAUCUUCAUAUAUGGAAAAUUAAUUUAGUUAUAUCAGUUGCUAAGUGAAGAUCAAGAUCAUUUGUUUAUUAGUGUGUACGUAUUGAUGUGUUUUGGGAUUAUUAAAAUUUGACGUGUUUGAUAAAGAGUGAUUUAUUCAUAAGUAAACUAUGUUUUGGGAUUAUUAAAUUACGUAUUGAUACUUUUAUUUUCGUGAGGGGAAUGCAUGUGCUGAUAAGUUGACUAAUUUAGGGUUCAUUCAUAGAUAAUCAUUUUAUUGGUAUAAUAGACUUCUAUCUAGUAUGUUCUUAGAAUUCUUUAUGAAUAGGUAUAGUCUACCUAUGUAUCGUUUUUGUUAACAUGUGAGUUUUGGUCUAAUCCUCCCAUAUUUUGGUAUUUUUUUUCUUUUUUUUAAUAAUAUGUUUUUCAUGUGAUGGCAGAUGAUUGUUGUUACUUGAGGUGUCAGCCUAGCUGAGAUGUCAAGUUGCAUAAUGAUGUCUAACAUGGAAAAUUUUAUAAAAAAUAAAAAAACAAAAAAAAACUAUGGUUUUUGUUAUUGAGAAAUUGUUUUUAAGAAAGUGUUGAUUACAAAUUACUAUUUUUUUUAAAAAAAAAUUGUUUUGAACAUCGUAACAUCUUUUUAAUGAAAAAUAUUUAUUGCAUAUAGGGGCUUUUAACAAGUUUGGAAUUGAGUGGAAAUUGGUGUUGGUUUAUGUUGCAAGUUGAUGGUUGAAUCAUAUUCAUAGAUAGAGUUGGUACUUUUUAAUAAUGUAAUUUAGUAUAUUAUUGAUAUUUUAAAAUGAUAAAGAGUGUGUGUAUAAUCUCAAUAAUAUAUGAUUUAAAUGUAUUAAAAAUUGAACUUUAAACAUAAAUCAACUUUAAAAAAUCGACUCAUAAGUUAAGGUUUGCACUUACUUAUAUAUUAUGAAAUGUUUUUAUCUUUGGUCGAUGUAGGAUUUUCAACAUUUCCCUUCACGUCAAGAUCUAUCAAUUCGUGUGUGAAACUAUAUAUUUAUAGGUGGUCAGAUAGCAACCGACCUUAUAAGUCUAACAAACUCUCAUUAGGAUAAACUGUAAAUGACUCUAAUACCAUAUUAAGAAGUGAAUUUUAAGCUUAAUUCAAUUUUAUAAAAUCAAUUCAUAAGGUAAUAUUUACACUCACUUAUAUAAUAUGAAAUGUUUUUAUUUCUAGUCGAUCUGAAAUCUCGAACAAAAUGUGAAAAUAUUCAAUUUUACAAGUAUGAUUAUUAUAAUUAUUAAAUAGGAGAGAUAUGAUUAUUAAGAUCUCAUUACUUGUAUUAUAAAAAAAACCCACGAACUAAAUUUUGUAUUGAUAAAAACUUGAGGAUUGUGGUUGAAAAGGCAGAACAAUUGUAAGAAUUAUCUUUUCAAGCAUAAUACAAAGUAUUUCUUUGUAAUUGAUAAAAAUUUAAACUGACACAUCAAAUAUUUAAAUUAUAUUAUUGAAAAUGGGUUCAUAGAUGAUUUAAAGAAGUAUAUGGUACAAGUUGAAAAUUUAAGAGGUUUUAAAGCAAUAAUAAUCAUAAAAUUUGGAGGAAUGACGUCCAUUCAAAAGUGAUAGGAUGAAAAAAGAAAGACAUGUAUGUUGUUUUAAUAGACUUCCACCAACUAAAUAUUUAAAUAUCUCAUCUCAAAAUUCUAUAACAGAGAAUAAGAUUAACAAUUUAGAAAAGAUUUUUAAAAAUCUUUUAUCUUUUCUUUAGAAAACAUUUUUAAAAAUCUUUUAUCUUUUCUUUAGAAAACAUUUUUAAAAAUCUUUUAUCUUUUCUUUAAACAUGAUGAGUGGUAAUUGUUCUUGCCAACAAUGUGGAAUCACAUCUUCAAGGUAGUCUCCGAACAAUCUUUCGGUAUUGUAGUCCUUGAGUGCUUGAAGAUCACCAAGUGAUGAGGGGAGCUCCACUCGUUGACAAGACUUCGACAAUCAAAUCAGUGAGAACAUUAAAUAUUUCAAUGUAGUAUGUAUUGCAUAGAAUAAUACUUGUCUUUGUUUGGGGACUCAUGACCCUUAUAUAGGACUCGUAGAUCCUUUUUUAGGAGUUUGUAAUCAGACACUUCCUUUGAACUUUUAGUUACACGAUUCGAUUUGUUGGACUCGAUCCGACUGACCCGAAAACGUCUAUUGAGUCCGAUCCAUUGGACCGAAAACACCCGAUCCACAUUAUCGGGUUCUACCCCGAUCUUGACUGAACGAUACAGUAAUAUACAAAUUGUAAAUAAAAAAUAAAAAAUAUAGUAAUUACAUUUAAUCAUCUAUAAAAAAAUUUAAUACUAAUAUGAUAUUUUAAAAAGAUAUUUUUUUCGGAAACACUUGAUGAUGAUGGAAGGAUUGAAAUUAUUCUAAUAGUAAUGUUUAAACACAGUAAAAAAAAGUCAAGUGAUAUGAUAAUGAUUGAAAAUUUACUUUUAAAUACAAUUAUCAUUUUUUACUAUAAGAUCAAUUUUUUUAAUGUGAUUACAUAUAUUUUAUAAAUGAUGUGGAUUUUUAUGGCCUGUACACAUCAUUAAUGAGUGAGAUAAUAUGUUUAAUCAUUUGCCAUUUAAUUUUUAGUACUUUCAAUGAACAAAUGAGAUUCAUAUGUAAGAAAUUUAGCAUCGAUUAUGACUCAUAGGACACAAAAUGUAUUUCAUUGAGUUGAGUGUGGUAUUUCAAUACCUAAUUAAUAUUUUUUUUGUCAUUAGUAAUUUGGUAUUGAUUUAAAAUCGAAAUUGUUGUUGACUAUUAAGAUUUAUUUGCUUUUGUAACUAUUAUGUUUUCCUCUUAUAAAUUUUGUUUAUAUUUUAGAUUAUAAAGUUGUUGUAAAACAUUGCAAAAACUUUUCUUAGUGGUUUUUAUCUAGUACAAUCAUUUAUAUUUUAGUGGACUUUUAUUGAAUUGAAUACACCCUACUCCAAUAGCCUAUGACGAGUCACACAAAUUUCAUUUGACAACAAAGAAUCUAUAGGGACAAAAAGUGGAACUUAUAGAGAAUCUUUAAAUUCAAAUUGAUAUUUUGAAUAAGUGAACAAAAAGUUAAACCCAUUUAUUAUAGCCAUUGUUUCCAAAAAUAUUUAAUAGUGAAUAUUUGAGCAAAUAAUGUAGAAUGUAUUAUAGCUAAAGACAAACAUCAUAUUAUUGUUUGGUACACGGAAAAUGUUAUAUUAUCACAAUUAUCGGUAUAUAUUAAUAAAUUUAUUCUCAAAAUUUUAACUAAUAAAUUUAUUCCACCAUUUUAUACAUGGACUAUAAUGAUAGAUUGUUAAAUGCCCUUAAAAUUUUACAUCACACUUUAUAUAGUAAAAAUAUUAUCAUGAUAUCUAUUACAAUGAAAGAAUGACAUAAACAAAAAUAUUUUGGUAUUAAAAUAUUAACGAAAAAUAAUAAAUUAUAUGGUAUUAUUAGUAAAGUAAGGAACUAAAAAUUAUUGAAGUUUUUGUGGAAUAAACUCAUACGGAAUAAUAUGUCAAAAAAAUUAAUUGAACUUAACAAUUGUUUUUUAUUAGCUAUAAGAAUGAAAUUAAUAAAGAUAUAUAUUUUAGAGAUAUAUUAACCUUAUACAAAAUCAUCAUUAUCAAACUUUCAUCUUGCAUUAAGUCUAUAAUGAUAUUAUACUCAAAACAGAUUAAUCAUACUAAAAACCACAACAUAAUCUAUUAAUCCAAACUUCUUAAAAAUGAUGUUCUUCUCAUAUUGAAUAUAUAGUUUUUAUUGAAGUUAAUAGUAACUCAUCAUGAUUAAAAAACAUGUUGUUUAGAGUUAAUUUUGUUUGAUAGACAAUUAUAUCAUCUAACUAUAUUACUUUAUUGUGUAAUUCCACUAUAUUGAUAUAAGUCUCAAUUUGAUGUACGGGAAAAGAUAGAAAAGAAAGAAAUGGGAGGAGUACAUUUGUUUAGUUAAUUAAAAAAGCUAAAUAAAUAUGUUUAAAAAAUUGUGAAACUGUGAAGUAUAUGAUAAGAAAAUCUGAACUUGUAAAUAUUUAUAACUAAAGUCUGCAAAAAGUAUAAAUAUUUUAAUUAUUUAUUUGUUAAAAGAGUGAAUAUGGAUAUCAUGCUAUUUAGUUAGCGAAUGUUCACUGUCCAUUAUUAAUUAUUUUUAUUUGAAUAUAUUUUUUAAUUAAGCAAUUGAGUAAAAUUAUUAACGAGAAAACAUUAAAAAUUGAUGAAUUAUUUAUAACUUAAUUUUAUAAAUGUAUAGUUUUUAUUUAGACUUGUGGAGCUAAAAUUAUCUUCAAAAGAUUAAUUUUAUUUAAAGUUAUAUUGUGAAGAAUUUUUUUAGAAUGAUUAAUUUUUUUCUAAUAAUAGCUUAUGAAACAUUUUUAUUAUAAUUAUACAUUAAUAUCAAUAUUUUAUCUUAUUUUAUUUUAUGUUUUAAAGAAUAAUUUUUAAAUAAUAUUAUUUUCUUAAAAGAAGGAUCCACGUGUAUCUAUUGAAAUAGGCAAGUAUUUUAAAUAACAUUAUAUUUUUUUAGUAGAAAUACUUCUUCAUAAGAUUUAUUUAUAAAUAACAAGUCACUUUAGAUAUGGUUAUCUCCUACUUCCAUAUCAAUGUAGACUCUUAUAUGUGUGACGUCAUUUAUUAUGAACUUGAAAUGUACUAUCUUAAGUGUAUCCUAUAGAAAACACCAUCACAUUCAAGUCAAAUAAUAUAAAAAUUAAGUAAUAAAUGAAUAAUACAUAUUUUGAGAUCUUCACCAUUAACUUUUAUUUAUAUCGAGUAUCGGUGGUUAAAUAUGACUUUAGUAUUGAGUUAAGAUUUUAAUAAUAAAAAUAUAGUGUAAGGGAAAAUAAUGUUAAUAUUUUAAUACUUUUGCGUGUUGAAAGAAAGAAAACAAAUCUAAAAAUAACUAUAGUUUAAACUUCGUUAAUUUUAAUAAAAAGCAUCUUCAAAACCGUAUUUAGUAGUAUAUAUAAUUGUAUUAUUUCCAGUUAUUUAUUUUAUUUUGUAGAUGCUUUCUAAAUUUAAAGGAAGAACCCAGACUUUAACCAAAACAUAUUUCUAUCCAAAAUAAAUGUAUGGUUAUGGGAAAAAAUAGCCUACAAUUGAUCAUACAAUCCAUUCAUUAAAUAAUGGAGUACAAUACAAUGUGCUAUAAUGAACCCAACAACGUCUUGUUCUAGGUUUUGUAUAUUCAGUCAUUGAUUUCUAAAUUUUUAUAUGAAUGUUUACAAUAAUAUUUCAAGGUCAAGUUAGUACUUCCUCCGAAUAAAGAAUAUAAAGUAAAAAAAGUUAAGAAUUCAUUAAUUAAUACUUAGUUUGAAGAAAAAACAUAUAAUAAAAAGUUAUAUAUUUAUUAUUUUCAAUUCACCUAUUUAUAACGGUAUUCUUCUAGUUAAGAAGAAUGUCUUCCAACUAAAGAUUUAGUUUAGUCAAAAAUAGUUAUUUCCAACUAAAUUGUAGUUCUGUCUCAUACCAUCAUCUUCCUCUUUUAUUUAAUAAUUAUUUCUCUAUUAUAGUAUUUGUCUCAUUCUUAGAUACAUUCUUAGAUUAAUUACAAUCUCGCAUAUUCAGUUAAUGUUUGUCACUUUCAAUAAAAAAAAUAAAAAAAAAUUUCAUUAUUUUAAUAAAUAGAUCAAUAUCAUAACCGUUUUCAUCUAUUAUUGGAAUCGACUUAUGAUCUCACAGUUCUCAAAUUCCAACAUAAUCCAAUGAGACUAAUAAGAUCAUGAAGUAAUUAAUUAUAGGAUGUAUCUUAAAUUUUGACUGAAAUCCAUACCAUUGAGGUUGAUGCAAAAGUUCACAUAUACUAUUAUACCUCAUCUAUAGAAAUGAUUAAUUGAGAUCCAAAUAGACUUAGAUGCGCUUAAUCAUAAUUUAUAUAUUGUUUACUUUACUCUACUUAUUAAUUAUAUUAUUACACCCUUAAUUUCACUUUAGAGAUACUUGCAUCAUUCAGUGGUGAGAUGUUGGGAUAUCGAGUGUGAUAUCGACACCUCAUAUAUUCCGGUACAAUGCAUUUGAGGAAAAUAAAAACCGAUCAUAUGUAUAAUUUUUUGUUUUCUUCCAUGCUUGGUUGUCACUUAGGUCAAUUCAGCACGAACCAACAUACUCCAUUUCAUCUUCUCAUAAAUCGAAGACAAUAAUUCCAGGAAAUGAAAAUGGGGUAUGUUAAUAAAGAAAAAAAAUAAGAGAAAAUUGCACAUAAAUAAAAUUCAAUUGAGUUCUUAAAUUACAAUGAUAUUGAAAAGAGUAGAAAUAUAUAGUUAAUUUGGUGAAUAAACAAAGUAGGUUGGAAAAAUGCGAUGAAAGCAUGAUAAGAUAGUUGUGGUUGUCUGUGGAAAUGCGAAACCCCUCUUUCUUGUUUUGUUUUGCACAUAUUUUACAAGCAAAUCCGACAAACAGAAAGAAUUGCAUAAGUCCAAACCUACUGGUAUUAUUUAGACGUUAAUAAUUGCCAGCUUUUGCCAGCUCCUACUUCAUCAUUAAAAUAUAAUUUAAAAAAAUAGACACAGAAACAGUAGUGAAGACUUUGCUCCUCAGUCCCAAAAAAUGACAACGGGAUACACUGGAUUUCCACACUUUCUCACAUGCUCGUCUUUUUCAUUUUCUGCCACGUGUAUUGUAAUGUAGCAAGGUCCCUCUGGUUCCAGCUGCGCAAACCUCACUCUCUUCCUUCAUCAUCAUCAUCAUCAUCAUCUUCUACCACUACAGCCACAAUAAACAUGCAUACCGUAUUUUUUCUUUUCAAAUAUUAUACGUAUACUUUUUGAUAUUUUAUUUCCGUUUGAGUUGAGUAGUUGUUCUCCAUUUGCAACGGUUACCUAAUAUUAUUCUCUGUUUCCAUCUACCCCAUUAUCAACUACGUAUUGCAUAUAAAACAUUAGCGAUAAUGAAAGAAAGGGUCAUGUAUCUGCUUUCUCAAUCAUUAAUGCAAAAUUACCGAAUUUAAUGAUGUUACCAUUACGAAUGGAGAAAGGGUCAAACCAAAAAUAAAAAGUGCACCUUUUCAACUGGCGGACAAAGGACGAGACACGAGUGGCAUCAACGCGGGUAAAGCACCCCGCGUUUUACUACCAGACGGAACCCAUCAACGGGCUAUAAAGGACACACGUGUGAGUUCUAGAUCAACGGUCAAAACACAAGGGCACUCUAGUAAUAUCGUUAAACGACUUUAUGAGUUGUUGAAAAGUUAUGGUCUUUCCGAGGAAAGAAAAAGUAAAAAAUAAUAAUAAAAAUGGAUUUUUUUUCAUUAUUUUCAUAGUACACAUUUUGUUUUCAUUAAUGGAAUUUUAAAUUGUAUUAUUUUUUGUUGUUAGAACAAACAGAGGGCUAGAGUGAAAAUAAAUUUAACGGGGAGAGGAGAGAGAGUGGGAAGCAUAUGAGAAUAGGAAGAUGGGUGGAAAAAACGCCGUACAGAGGGGUGGCGGAUGACAGCGACUGCUCACUGACCCACAUAACUGACACGUGUCCUGACGCAAAAGGGUGUGGAGGUAAUAUUGAGCAAGCAUAAUGGAGAAAAAGGCAAAGAAGGAACACACAUUAACAAAAAUCAAUUGGGCAGAAGAUCCACAUAUGCCAGCUAAUAUUUUGCACAUUUACAGAAAGAGAGGAAAAAUUGUAGUAGAGGCGGAAGAAAGUUGAAAUGAAGAUAAAAUAAAAAAAAAGAAUAAAGAAUAAAAAAGUGGGAAUGGAGAGUUAAGUGUUGACCCAUUAUUAUUACUCACAUCACACCGGCCUGACCUAGUCCAGGGUAUUAGGGAAGAUGAGGAAUGGGGACAGGCAGCAUAGAAGGAGUAGAUGCACAUCACAACAUAUAAAAAUAUUAAUAUAUAUAGUAAGGUUGGGAAAAUAAUGAGAUAAAAAAAAUUGUGUGUGAGCAUAUAGAAGGAAAUUAAAUUAGGACAUUGGAGUUGGAGGAAUCUUUGAGCAUUAUUGAUGCAUUAAUCGCCACUCCUUCAACGGUUCAUAUCUUACCUCUUUUUAUAUAUUCUGUUCCCUUAUCAUCUUCCACUGCUCAACUCUCUCUCUCUCUCUCUCUAACACAAGCUUCCGUUUUUCUGUUUCUCUUCUCUCUACUCAGAACAUGGGUUCUUCUGCAGUACAAUUGUUUCUCAUCUUGGGGCUUCUGGCUACUUCUUGCAUAGCACAAGCCCCAGGUGGCGCACCCACGCAGCCUCCCACAACCACCCCACCACCACCGCCCGCAGCAGCACCAGUACCUGCACCCACUGCACCCGCAACUCCACCACCAUCUUCACCACCACCUGCACCCACACCCGCACCCACACCAACUGCUCCCACUCCUGCUCCAGCUUCUUCUCCUUCAUCUGCUGCAUCUCCCUCAGCUGAGUCACCAGGCUCUCCUACAUCUCCCCCAGCACCACCGGCCCCCUCAUCUGCACCUUCACCCUCAGUCAGCGAACCACCACCCUCACCCUCCUCCGCAUUCUCCGUUGGCAAGGCCUUCGUUGCCGGGUCUGCGCUCGCGGGAACCUUCGUAGCCAUGGUCUUGGCUUGAAGACAGACCUGACGGUUGGGAUUCGUCCACGUGGAGGCUCUUGGGCCCUUGAUCUUGUUUUACAGCGACGGACGGACGGACGGGAUCUGUUUCAUUUAUUUUAUCCUCUGGUCUUGUUGAGUAGCGGUUUUCUUUUUCUCUCUUUGGGGUUUUAUGUGUUAGUUUUGUUCGUUCGUGGUUGAUGUGUUUGUUGAUUCGAUAUCUGGGAGGGUUGGGUGUUGAUGAUGAUGAUGAUGAUGAUGAUGAUGGUGAUGGUAUUCAUGAUUAUGAUGAUUAUUUUGUGAUUCAUUGUUCUGGUGUUCACACGUGUACGUAGAUGACCUUGAUGAUUUCAUUGUACAUCUAAUAAUUGAAAGAAUAAAACAGUUUGUCAUUCUUUUUACUUACAAUCUUGUUCC